This 45592-nucleotide long non-coding RNA is filed under the name Gossypium barbadense (sea-island cotton). Its description in RNAcentral is "long non-coding RNA (GBAR_LNC023063)". The record is from RNAcentral. Lineage: Eukaryota; Viridiplantae; Streptophyta; Magnoliopsida; Malvales; Malvaceae.
UUAUUUACAUAUAAAAGUUUAAAAAGUAACAUAUAGCUAAGAGAGAAGAGGAAAACAGAAAGAUGAUGAUGAUAAUGAUGGAGUGGAAAUGGUUAUGGUUUAUAAGGAUGGCAGUAAUGUUGUUGGUGUUAGAAGGGUGCAGGUGGUGUACUACUGAUGCUUGUUUGGAGCAUGAGUCGCCUUCUUGCAUCUCAAACCUUUCUUCAAUUAUGAUAAUCAAUUGAAAAGUUGGAUUGAGGUGAAGGGUUCAGAUUGUUGUAAAUGGAAAAGAGUUGAGUGCAACACCAUCACUAGGAGAGUCAUACAACUCUCCCUUAAUCAUACAUCAUCCAAUAUAUAAAUGAAUUAAUGAAUUUACCUUUCAAAAGAGAAAAAAAGAAUUCAUAAAUUUUGAAAUACAAAAUGAACGUGUUUUGAUAUUUUUAGGGCAAUGGUUUAGUGGUUCAAAAUUUUGAUUUAAUAUGGUGAAUUUAAUUAUAAUUUUUUAUAUAUUAGAUAGUAGAAUAUAUUUUACCAUUUAUAAUUAAGUACAAUUAAGUUUAGGUUAAAAUAUUUUAUUAAAUUUUUGUACUUUUCACAAAUUUUAAAUUUAAUCUGUUUACUUUUAUUCUAGAAUUUAAUCUCUCUGCAUGUAAAGGAGGUUAUUAUGGCAAGGGGAAUUACCAUGGCAGAGGUAGCCGAGGCUGACGAAGAGAUGCUGGAUAUGCUGAAGAAAGAUAGAUGGCUGAGAAACAGAAAACUUUAGGAACAAUAUUCAGUGUUAGAAGUAUGGGGAUGUGAAGGCAGAUUGUUGGAAAAGGGGAAACAAGCAAAUUUUGCGGAAGAUGAUGAAGAGAUUUAAAUUAUUUAUGAGCUGUCUAGAUGACACUAUAGCUUCAACUAACAUUUGGUUUCAAGGGCGUAUAUCUCAUGAUGAAGAGAUCGUCUCUCUUCUUUUUUUCUCAUAACAUAUUACACGCCAUGAUAAUAAAUAUUGAUAUGCCUAUAAAUUUGAGUUUCUAUUAUUUGUAGUCAUGAUUUGGUUCACUCCAUAAGUUACAUAAAUUUAUUAUAAUAAUUCAAUUAAUUUUAGAUUAAUUUUACAUUUUUGCCCGAACUUUAGUUUUUAAUAAUUCAAUCAUCCCACCAUUAUAUUCAAUUAAAAGUGUAAUACGAUUUUUGCGUCAUCCAACCAUUAUUCUUAGUGUAAUUUUUGGUAGUGAGCAUAGAAGGACAGCGAGAACAAAGAAAGAAUGUAUCCAAUAACCCACUCCCCUUAUAGUCAAUGCUUAAAAUGAAUAAGAAAAUAGAAAACAAACGUGGCAAUGCCAGCUAAUUUGUUAUUACUAUUCACCGUAUAACUAAGGACAUUACGCACCGUUUUAAUUAAAACAAACUCACCGUUUAAGACCGUUACUUCUAUGCAUCGUUUUAAUCAUAUGCGUCAGUUCGAACAAAUAGGUGAACAUGAAAGCUUUAGAUGUGUGCUUAAAACUCAAACUUUGUGUUCUGUAAAAAUAUUGAUUUUGUUUGUAAUUGUAGGUUGAACUUUGUGAGUCCAAUUACUUUCUUUGGCAUCGGAUAUUUCGUGGAACUUUCGUAUGAGAUAUUUACUUUAUAAAUAGAAGAUUACAAAAUUUGGAUAUUAAUAUAUUUUUCAUGAUUUAAUUUUCUUUUCCUUUUUUGGGCUAAAUAAUUAAUAACGAAAACACGUCUUUUGCUAGCACCUAUAAAUGCCUUAAAAAUGUAAAUUAAUAUUCCACAAUAAUUAUUAAGAUGAAAAGAAUUUUAAUAAUCUAAACUUACGAUUUCAUGUGAAUUUAAUGUUUAGUUAUAGUUUUAAUUACAAAGUUAAAUUGGUAUCUUUGUUAUUGCAAUAAUUAAAAAAAGAUGAGUCCAAAUGACGUUGAUUUUCUGUUUUUUAAAAGUGAAUGCAAGAUGGGACGGCUGGAAUUUUUUUUAUUAAACAGUAAGUAUGAAGCAGUUAUGGUAAUUGCUUGCUCCAUCUCACUCCACUCCACUAUAUAAAAUUAUCAUUUCAUUCUUUUAUAUAUAGAAAAAAAUUAAAUAUUUUAUGAAAAUAAUCAUGUUUAAAUUUCCAAGAAUAAAAGCAAACUGAAGACUUAAAAUUUCCAUUAAUAAAACCAAAAUCAAAGAAGUAAAUUUUCCAUGAAUAAAACAAAAAAUGAAGAUCUAAAUUUUCCAUUAAUAAAGCCAAGUCAAGACUAAGUUUGUAUAAGUGUAAGAAGGGUAUAAAUGAAACUCACAAGAAAGCCACAUGAAGAAUUUUAUAACCCCAAACUACACGAUUUUAUGUCCACCUCUCACUUUUCAUAUUUUUUUGGCCAUUCGUUUUUCAAGAUUAACAUCAGCAUUCUUGUGGUCCGUUCAUCCUUUUCUAAUGAAUUUCCACCAAGAGUUUUAUUUUUCAAAAUGUUAAAUUAACUCAUGAUAUUAAUUAAAUCAAGAAAUUUUAUAAUAAUAGAGAUGAAAAAACUAAAUUUUCAAAAUCAAAACCUAAAAUGUGCAAGAAUAAAAGCAAACUGAAGACUUAAAAUCUCCAUUAAAAAAAUCAAAAUCAAAGAAGUAAAAUUUCCAUGAAUAAAACGAAAAAUGAAGACCUAAAAUUUCCAUUAAUAAAUCCAAGUCAAGACUAAGUUUGUAUAAGCGUAAGAAGGGUAUAAAUGAAACUCACAAGAAAGCCACAUUAAGAAUACACGAUUUUAUGUCCACCUCUCACUUUUCAGUUUUUUUGGUCAUUAGUUAUUCUAAGAUUUAACAUCAACAUUUGAUUUCAAAUCAACGUUAAACCAUGUUUAAACUCUUUUUCUUAUAUAAUAAUUAUAUUAUAUUUAAAAUUGAAAAAACUAACCAGCCAAAUAUAUAUUAAUUAAUUAAUAGAAUUUUUUUUGCUCAUCGAUUAAAAUAAAUCAAGAAAGACGUUGGAACCACCAACCUCUCUUUAAGAACAACAGGAAUACAAGAACCUAUGCACAACAAGUACUAAAAUGUAUUAAGUAAAUUCAUCACCAGGCCUUAAAAAAAGAAGAUCUCGAUAUACCUGCUUUUGCCAAAGCAUCUGCCAUACCAUUACUUUGCCAGUGAAUAAUUCUGAACUGAAACUUAGCCAAUUGAGUGAUAUUAAUUAUAGAAAUGGUUCUUCUUGCAACCAUAGAUGAAACACCACUGAGACUAACAAACUUGGAGAAACUUGAUUAAAUCAAACUUAUGCAAAUUUCUUGAAUAUUUAAGUUAAGAGUUAACGUCAAAGUCAAGAGUUGAUAAGGAUUUUGUGGUCCAUUCAUAUCUUUAUUACAAUAUAUAUAUAUUCAAGAAAUUUGCAGCAAGUUGGAGUUUUGCAAUAAGGAAUUUCCACCAAGAGUUUUGGAAUAAGGAAUUUCCUCCAAGAAUUUUGCAGGAAUCAUAUCUCUAACAAAAGAAAGACCUUCAUUUGACUAAAUUUUUUAGUAUUUAUUUUAACUUCCAUUUUAUUAAAAAAAAAACAGAGGUAAAAAAUAUGCCGAACAGGGUCUUUAGGUUACUUUUCUUAGAACUAUAUUAUGUUAUAGUACCGUAUAAGUUAGAGGAGCACAAGUUUAGAUUCAUCCAAUUUUUGAGGAAUUAAUUAAAUAUAUAUUAUUUUAAUAUUAUAGUGUACAGAGGUAAAGUUAGAAAAUUAAAUUAUAGUUUUUACAAUACUAUAAAAACAAUUUUACUAUUUUAAAAGCAUAUAUAUUUAUAAUUUUUAAAGAAUUAAAUAAAAUUUUUAUCAAUUUUAGAGGGUCAAUGUGUAAUUUUAUCUUUACUAAUUUAAAAUUUUAAAAUAUUUAAAGGACCUAAAUAGAAAAUUUUCUAUUUUAGAGGCGCCUGAGACGCCUGCUAGCCUGUCUAGCUAUGUCCCCGAUAGUGAAUUAGUGGGAUGCCAUAGGUCCUGCUUGUAUAUAAAUAAGAAGCUUAGGCUUCUUCAGAUUAUAUACAUAUAGAAGUUAAAAAUUAACAGACAACUGAGAGAGAAGAGAAAACAGAAAGAUGAUGAUGAUGGAGUGGAAAUGGUUAUGGUUUAUUAGGAUGGCAGUAAUGUUGUUGGUGUUAGAAGGAUGCAGGUGGUGUACUAUUGAUGCUUGUUUGGAGAAUGAGAGAAUUGCUCUCUUGCAUCUCAAACCUUUCUUCAAUUUUCGUGAUGAAUUGAAAAGUUGGGUUGAGGUGAAGGGUUCAGAUUGCUGUGAAUGGGAAAGAGUUGAGUGCAACACCACCACUAGGAGACUCAUACAACUUUCCCUUAAUUCUACGAAAUGGGAAUUCAACGUGGAAUACCGGUAUCCCAAUUCCUGGUAUCUCAAUGCCUCUAUGUUUCUUCCCUUUGAGGAAUUGAGGAGUCUUGAUUUGUCAGAAAAUGCCAUAGCUGGUUGCAUUGAAAAUGAAGGUCGUCCCUUUAAUUUUCCCUUAGUUACAUCUUUUAUUAUUACACUAUUCUCAGCCUUGUUAAUUUGCAAUUACUUUUAUUUUAUUUUAUUUUAUUGAAGAAAGGUCACUAAUUGUUUGUGUAUAUAUUUAAAAGAACACUCUUACAGGUUUUGGAAAGCUAUCAUCCACAUUGAGUAAUUUGGAGAUUCUUGACUUAAGUUUCAAUUACUUGAAUGAUAGCAUUUUGUUAUCUUUGAGUCAGCUUUCAUCUCUCCGAUAUUUGGAUCUAUCAUACAACCGAUUUGAAAGAUCAAGUCAUCCAAGAGGUAAAUUAAGUUUAGUCUGGUGUUAGUUUUUAUUUGUAUGGGGGAGUUUGACAGUGGUUUUCCAUUGUUUUAUUCCCUCUAACUUAGUUUUUGCUUUUAUGGUUGAGAGGAAAAAGAAACAAACAAGUACUUACUCAAAUUAACUAAACAAUGGAGUAUUUUUUUUAUGUUUUGCAGUAACUAAUUCUAUGGUAUAUAAAUCAGGUUUUCAGUGGCUUUCAAGGCUCACUAAAUUGGAAACUCUUCAUCUAAGUGGGAAUUCUUUGAAGAAUAGCAUUUUUUUACAGAUGAGAAAUCUUUCAUCUUUGAAGACUUUAAGUUUGGGUGACAAUCAGUUGGGAGGAAAACUGCUUCAUAUUCAAGGUAGACUGAUUUUACACUUUUCUUGUUAACUUUAAAAUAAAUUUAUAUUCAAGGAAAAGUGGUUGCAGUAUGUGAUUUGAUUUUAUCAUAUCAAUAUUUGAGAUUGAAUUUCAGAAUUGAAUCAUUUGGCAAACUUGAAGUACUUGGAUUUAAGUGGCAACAAAAUUGAAAGCAUCUCAAACAAAGGUAUAAGUAUUAAUUUGUGCAUGACUUUCCUAACAGACUUCAAAUGUAUUUUCUUUGUUUUUUUCCUUUUCAUAUGGUUGAGAGGAAAAAAGAUCCUUAUAAUCUUAAAGAGUUGAUUUUGAGAGUUGGUCAUGAGAGAAUGGGUCCUUAAAAUCCUUAAGACCAGGGAGUUUGUGUCCACAGUUGAGUAUUCCAUUUGAAAACUGAAAAUUAAAUAUUCUAUUGCUUUAUUUCUUUUAAAAGAAAGAUUGAGUUUGGAUCUCCGACUGCUUUAUUUUUUUCAAAGAAAGAAAUAUGUUUAUACUUUUGCGCAGAAGAUAUGAAGAAGUCUUAUUUUGUUCUCGCUUUUGUGCAAGUGAAACUUAGUUAUCUCAAAUAUAUAUAUAUAUAUAUUGUAGUUAUCAGUUCACUACACAAUAGCUUGUUAACCAGUUCCCCCUUUUCAAAUUUAUGACUGGGAGUUGUCCAUGAUUUUCUUUGUGAUUUUCUUUUCACGUUUUAGGAUUUUCAUCUUCACUUCAAGUUUUAGAUUUACUUUUUUUCAUUUUUAUUUCAUUAACUUAAAAAAGGAUUGAAUUUCAGGAUUGAAUAAUUUGUCAAACUUGAAAUACUUGGAUUUAAGUGACAACAACAUUGAAAGCAUCUCAAACCAAGGUAUAAGUAUUUGUGCGUAGUAACUUUCUUGACUGACUAUUAUUCCAAAAGGCAAUGACAGACUUCAAAUGUAUUUUCUUUAGUGAAUUUUUAUUGCAAAAAUGGAGUAUUAUUAUUUAUUUAAGUUUUGUAGUAACUAAUUAUAUAAUAUAUAAAUGAGGUUUUCAAUGGCUCAUUAAAUUGGAAAUUAUUGAUAUAAGUUGGAAUUAUUUGAAGAAUAGCAUUCUUUAAAAUAAAUUCAUGUUGAAGGAAAAGUUGUUGCAAUUUUAUCAUAUCAUGAAUAUAUAUAAGUAAUCAAUAUUUGGGAUUGAAGGUUCAAAAUUGAGUAAUUUAAGUAGGAAGGUAUCUCAAACAAAGUAUUUAUAUAUUGAAUCAAUUCAUGGGAAAGCUUGUAAGUUGGCUCUUCCUUCUCAAACAAACAUUUUUCCUAACUAUUUAUAUCUUCAAUGAUAUUAUUUUCUUCCAAUGAUAGAUGGAACACAAUUGAGGCUAACAAACUUAGAGGAACUUUAUUUAAGUGAUAAUCUCUUUCGGAACAACACAAUUUCCUUUCCUCAAGGGCUUUCAAGCCUAAAGUCUUUGACUUUGUCCAACAACCGUUUGCAAGGCUCAUUACAUACUAAAGGUCCUAAAGCUAUAACUUUGUUUUUCUUGAUAAUUCUUUCUAGAAUCUUUUAAAAUUAAUUGUUUCAAAUUUGAACAUUCACAUUUCACGUUUGAAGAUUUUCAUCUUCACUUCAAGUUUUAGAUUUACUUUUUUUCAUUUUUAUUUUAUUAAAAUAUUAAGUAGAAAUUAAAAUUAUUAACAUAAUGAUUUUUUGAAUUGGACGUGGAUAUGUAUAGGAUCCAUAACCGAACACAUCCAUUUAGCCAUUUUCUGAACCCUUGUUGUUUUAAAACAAUAUUGAGUCUAUUUCACCAAUUUUAUUUAUUAGCUAUUCUUUUGUUCCUUACUUCAUCGUAGAUGAUCGGACGACACAAAUACGACUCGACUCAACACCGAGGCGGUUCGUAUCAUUCAAUUUCGUGUUCUUGGCUUCCAAGAAUCCCCUAUUAAUAAGUGUUUUGAGUUUUGAUUGAUUCUUUAUUGUUUUGGAGUUUUUGUUUCAGAUCUGGAAUUUUAAGAUUUAAAUUGGAUUUAAAAAAAAAACACACUCAUUCCAAUGGAUGGAUAAUGAAUAAUAAGAAAGUGUUGGGCAGGCCCAUUUUUAUGCCAAUUCAUUUGAGUGAUGAAAUUAUAUAAAUCUUUUGUAGAUGGUGGUAGAAAAUUGGAGUUGACCCACUUGGAAGAGCUUUAUUUAGAUUACAAUCACUUCAAUACUAGUGUAUUUGCAUCCCUUAACAAGCUUUCAAAUUUGAAAUCGUUGAGCAUAAGGGUCAAUCAAUUGAAAGGAUCAAUAGAUAUGAAAGGUAAAAAUAUUAGUCUUUUUAACAAGAAUAUAAUCAUGUUUGAAGAGAAUAUAAUGAAAUUGAUUUGUUGUUUUUUGUUUUCCUAGAUUUGGAUGCAUUUAUCAACUUAAGGGAACUAUAUAUGAGCGACAAUGAAUUGAAAAAUUUUGUGAUCCACCAAGGUAUCAUUUAAUUAAACUUCCUUUUUUUUUCUAAUUUAGAAAUUUAGUUUUGAUCUCAAAUGUUAUAAUAACUAAUAAAGAUAUAUCAUAUCAUACUUGAAAGUAAAAUAUGGGUUUGGUGAAACAUUUUCUAAAUCCUCCAUUAUUAUGUGUUUCGACUUUGGUUUGAAACUAAAAUUCUUUAAAAUUUUCAUUAUUUUUAAAUAUUAAUGUUUAUAAUUAUUUUGUUUCUAUAAAUAUAUAUAUUUUUAAAUAAUUUAUUGAAUUUUUAUGAGAUAAAAAAUAAUUAUAACAAUAAAAAAAUGAUAUUAUAAAUAAAUAAAAACAUAUAUUUAUGAGAAAAUAUGUAAUAUAACUAUAUUUUAAUUUCAUAUAUUUUUAAUAGUAUAAAACAUAAAAAUACAUAUUAGAGUUAAAUAAAUGGCAUUUUUUGGAAAAAAUAAAUAAAUGUCAAUUUUGAAUAAUUUAAAAAAAUCUUCAAUUUUAUGAAAUUUAAACAUACAUUUAGAGGUGCUUAAACUUCCAUUGCAAACUUUUUAUAAAUUUCAAAAUGCACAUGUUAUUAACAUAGGUCUACAUACUCUUUACAAAUUUGUAAUUUAAUUCUUAUACUUUUAUUUUCAGGAAUUUAGUCCCUCUAUUUUUUUAAAAUUUCAAAAUCCAAGUUCAAUUAUUAAAAUUGUUAAUUUUUUAAAAUAAUUUGUUGGUGUAACAUUUUGAAGUUAAAAAAAACUUGGUAGCAAUGUAACUAAAAAAUGAUAUAAUGAACAUGGAUUUAAUAAAAUAAUUUUAACAGUAUUAAUAAUUAGACUUGAAUUUUGAAAUUUCACGUUUGUAAAGAGUAAAAGGGAGAUAUGACAUAUUUUAACUUAACUCUGGCCAAUAUUUAGUGCUUUAAAAUUUUCAUUUAAUCCACUGAGUUUACUUAAAAUUCUUUUGACUUUUAUUUAUUGGUGAGUAAAAUAUCAAUUUGAUUUUUUUUUAUAAAGUAUUGGUAACUUUAAAGGUAAUAUAAUAAUUUUAGUGUAGACAUGUUUUAUUUUAUAAAUAUUAUUUAUUGUGUUGUUGAGUGGAGUUUGAAAAUUAUACGAAUUAGCUAUAUCAGCUAAUUACUUAUAUUCAAAAAUAAUAUAAGAAAAUACUUAAAAAAAGUAUAAUUAAUAAAAUGGAUGAAGAGUUAUAUUAAAGAUUCAACAUCUUUCUCUCUAUCAAAAUUUAUCUCGGAUAAAUCAUGAAUAAUCUAACUCAUAAAAAAGAAAACAAAUAUUUAUAUAUUUCAUUUCAUUCACAGAAAAUAAAGCAUUCCACUUAGUAAAGGCUUUCUAUAAUACUAUUAUCUAAUACCUCUUGACAUUGCUUAGAUUCAAAUAAUUAUAACAAUAAAAACAAUGAUAUUAUAAAUAAAAAUACAUAUAUUUUUAAUAGUAUAAAACAUAAAAAUACACAUUAGAAUUAAAUAAAUGGCAUUUUUUGGCCAAAAAUAAAUAAAUGUCAAUUUUGAAUAAUUUAAAAAAAACUUCAAUUUUAUGAAAUUUAAACAUACAUUUUGAGGUGCUUAAAUUUUUUUUUUCAAACUUUUUAUAAACUUCAAAUUGCACAUGUAGUUAACUUUUUGGUUUAAAAAAUUGUGAUAGGUCUACGUACUCUUUACAAAUUUUUAAUUUAAUUCUUGUAUUUUUAUUUUCGGGAAUUUGAUCCCUUUAUUUUUUAAAUUUCAAAAUCCAAGUUCAAUUGUUAACAUUGUUAUUUUUUAAAGUAAUUUAUUGGUGUUGACAUUUUGAAACAGAAGAACUUGGUAGCGAUGUAACUAAAAGAUGACGUAAUGAACAUGGAUUUAAUAAAAUAAUUUCAACAGUAUUAAUAGUUAGACCUGAAUUUUGAAAAUUUAUAUUUGUAAAGAGAAAAAUAUGCACAUUAGAUUUAAAUAAAAAAUAAUAUUUUUUUAGUUUAAAAUUUUCUAUUUUAUAAUAGAACCAUGCAUUUAAAUAAAUGAGAUUUUGAAGAAUUUCCAGAAAAAAAAAAACUAUGAAGGUGAAAUUUAAAUAAAGAAUUUGAGAAGCUAAAAGUCUCUUUCGGAAUUCAUAAAUUUUAAAAUUCAAAGGGAUGUAUUUUGACAAUUUUAGGGCAAUGAUUUAGUGCUUUAAAAUUUUGAUUUAAUAUGGAGAAUUUAAUUAAAAAAUUUAUUUAUUAGAUUGUAAAAUAUUUCUUAACAUUUUUAAUUGAGUACAAAGUAAAUUAAGUUUAAGGGAAAAUAUUUGGUAUUAUGAAUGAAAUUCCUUUUUUUUUAAUUAAAAAAAAUCUGGUUUUUUUUUUUUUAAAUCUGGGUGGUACUAUUAAUGAAAUUCUGGACUUUAUAAGUAGGGUUGAGAUAAUAACAAAUAUCUUAUAUGUUAUAGUAAAAUAUUAAAAAAGAAAUAUUUAAAAGUAGGUUACUGAUCAUUUUUUAACUUCACUUGUAGAGUUAAAAAACUCCAUUACCAGCGUUAAAUACUAAUAUUAAGGUUAAAUGCUAAAUUGAUUUCAAACAUAUUUGAGUUUUUAAAAGAAUAUGCUCAUAUAUUUAAAUCUGAUAUGAAUCAAGAAAAAAAUAUUUUCAGUGGCUCAUUAAAUUGGAAAUUAUUGAUAUAAGCUGGAAUUAUUUGAAGAAUAGCAUUCUUUAAAAUAAAUUCAUGUUGAAGGAAAAGUUAUUUGAAGUUAUUUGAUUUUAUCAUAUCAUGAAUAUUUGGGAUUGAAUUUCAAAAUUGAGUAAAUUAAGUAGGAAGGAAUCUCAAACAAAGUAUUUAUAUAUUGAAUCAAUUAAGUUUUACUUGUAAAAUGUAGUUAUCAAUUCAUGGGAAAGCUUGUAAAUUGGCUCUUCCUUCUCAAACAAUCAUUUUUCCUAACUAUUUAUGUAUGCUCGAGUUUGAUUUUAUCUUACGAUGAAUAUAUAUAACUAAUCAAUAUUUGGGAUUGAAUUUCAGGAUUGAAUAAUUUGACAAAUUUGAAGUACUUGGAUUUAAGUUGGAACGACAUUGAAAGCAUCUCAAACAAAGGUAUAAGUAUUUCUGCAAAACUUUCUUGACCGACUCUUAUUCCAAAAGGCAAUGACAGACUUCAAAUGUAUUUUCUUUAGUGAAUUUUUAUUGCAAAAAUGGAGUAUUAUUAUUUAUUUAUGUUUUGUAGUAACUAAUUAUAUAAUAUAUAAAUCAGGUUUUCAACGGCUCAUUAAAUUGGAAAUUAUUGAUAUAAGUUGGAAUUAUUUGAAGAAUAGAAUUCUUUAAAAUAAAUUCAUGUUGAAGGAAAAGUUGUUGCAAUAUGUUAUAUCAUGAAUAUAUAUAAGUAAUCAAUAUUUGGGAUUGAAUUUCAAAAUUGAGUAAUUUAAGUAGGAAGGUAUCUCAAACAAAGUAUUUAUAUAUUGAAUCAAUUAAGUUUUACUUGUAAAAUGUAGUUUAUCAAUUCAUGGGAAAGCUUGUAAAUUGGCUCUUCCUUCUCAAACAAUCAUUUUUCCUAACUAUUUAUAUCUUGAAUGAUAUUAUUUUCUUCCAAUGAUAGAUGGAACACAAUUGAGGCUAACAAACUUAGAGGAACUUUAUUUGGGUGGUAAUCUCUUUCGGAACAACACAAUUUCCUUUCUGCAAGGGCUUUCAAGCCUAAAGUCUUUGACUUUGUUCAACAGCCGUUUGCAAGGCUCAUUAGAUACUAAAGGUACUAAAGCUAUAACUUUGUUUUUCUUGAUAAUUCUUUCUAGAGCCUUUUAAAAUUAAUUGUUUCAAAUUUGAACAUUCACAUUUCACGUUUGAGGAUUUUUAUCUUCAAUUCAAGUUUUAGAUUUACUUUUUUUUUUCAUUUUUAUUUCAUUAAAAUAUUAAGUAGAAAUUAAAAUUAUUAACAUAAUGAUUUUUUAAAUUGUACGUGGAUAUGUAUAGGAUUGAGCAAUUUAACAAAUUUGAAGAAACUAGAUUUAAGUGGGAAUCAAAUUGAAAGCUUUCAAUCCUUUAAAGGUAUGCAUUUAUAUUUAACCAAUUACCUAAAUUCUUACAUAUAAUUAAAUUUUAUGCCAAUUCAUUUCAGUGAUGAAAUUAUAUAAAUCUUUUGUAGAUGGUGGUAGAAAAUUGGAGUUGACCCACUUGGAAGAGCUUUAUUUAGAUGGAAAUCACUUCAAUACUAGUGUAUUUGCAUCCCUUAACAAGCUUUCAAAUUUGAAAUCGUUGAGCAUAAGGGUCAAUCAAUUGAAAGGAUCAAUAGAUAUGAAAGGUAAAAAUAUUAGUCUUUUUAACAAGAAUAUAAUCAUGUUUGAAGAGAAUAUAAUGAAAUUGAUUUGUUGUUUUUGUUUUCCUAGAUUUGGAAGCAUUUAUCAACUUAAGGAAACUAGAUAUGAGCUAUAAUGAAUUGAAAGAUUUGGUGAUCCACCAAGGUAUCAUUUAAUUAAACUUCCUUUUUUUUUUAAUUUAGAAAUUUAGUUUUGAUCUCAUAUAUUAUAAUAACGGUUAUUGUCAUAAAUAUUAAUAAAGUUAUAUCAUAUCAUACUUGAAAGUAAAAUAUGGGUUUGGUGAAACAUUUUCUAAAUCAUCCAUUAUAAUGUGUUUGGACUUUGGUUUGAAACUAAAAUUCUUUAAAAUUUUCAUCAUUUUAAAAUAUUAAUGUUUAUAAUUAUUUUGUUUGUAUAAAUAUAUUUUUUAAAAUAAUUUAUUGAAUUUUCAUGAGAUAAAAAAUAAUUAUAACAAUAAAAAAUGAUAUUAUAAGUAAAAAUACAUAUAUUUAUGGGAAAAUAUGUAAUAUAACUAUAUUUUAAUUUCAUAUAUUUUUAAUAGUAUAAAACAUAAAAAUACAUAUUAGAGUUAAAUAAAUGGCAUUUUUUGGCCAAAAAUAAAUAAAUGUCAAUUUUGAAUAAUAUAAAAAAAACUUCAAUUUUAUGAAAUUUAAACAUACAUUUUGAGGUGCUUAAACUUUUUUUUUUUAAACUUUUUAUAAAUUUCAAAAUGCACAUGUUGUUAAUUUUUUGGUUUAAAAAAAUGUGAUAGGUCUAUGUACUCUUUACAAAUUUGUAAUUUAAUUCUUGUAUUUUUAUUUUCGGGAAUUUGAUCCCUCUAUUUUUUAAAUUUUAAAAUCCAAGUUCAAUUGUUAACAUUUUUAUUUUUUAAAAAAAUAAUUUAUUGGUGUUGACAUUUUAAAAUAAAAGAACUUGGUAGCGAUGUAACUAAAAGAUGACGUAAUGAACAUGGAUUUAAUAAAAUAAUUUCAACCGUAUAAAUAGUUAGACUUGAAUUUUGAAAAAAAAAAUUGUAAAGAGAAAAAUAUGCACAUUAGAUUUAAAUAAAAAUAAUAUUUUUUUUAGUUUAAAAUUUUCUAUUUUAUAAUAGAACCAUUGAUUUAAAUAAAUGAGAUUUUGAAGAAUUUCCAAAAAAAAAAAAAAACUAUGUAGGUGAAAUUUAAAUAGAGAAUUUGAUAAGCUGAAAUUCUCUUUCGGAAUUCAUAAAUUUUAAAAUUCAGAAGCAUGUAUUUUGACAAUUUUGAUUUAAUAUGGUGAAUAUUAAAUAUUAAAUAUUUUAAAUUUUAAAAUUCAUACUUGAAAGUAAAAUAUGGGUUUGGUGAAACAUUUUCUAAACCCUCCAUUAUAAUGUGUUUCGACUUUGGUUUGAAACUAAAAUUCUUUAAAUUUUUCAUAAUUUUUAAAUAUUAAUGUUUAUAAUUAUUUUGUUUGUAUAACUAUAUUUUUAAAAUAAUUUAUUGAAUUUUUAUGAGAUAAAAAAUAAUUAUAACAAUAAAAAAUGAUAUUAUAAGUAAAACUACAUAUAUUUAUGGGAAAAUAUGUAAUAUAACUAUAUUUUAAUUUCAUAUAUUUUUAAUAGUAUAAAACAUAAAAAUACAUAUUAGAGUUAAAUAAAUGGCAUUUUUUGGCAAAAAUAAAUAAAUGUCAAUUUUGAAUAAUUUAAAAAAAUCUUCAAUCUUUUUAUAAAUUUCAAAGUGCAUAUGUUUUUAUACUCUUUACUAAUUUGUAAUUUAAUUCUUAUACUUUUAUUUUCAAGAAUUUAGUCCCUCUUUUUUUAAAAAAAAAUUUCAAAAUCCUAGCUCAAUUGUUAAAAUUGUUAAAUUUUUAAAAUACUUUAAAAUAGUUUGUUGGUGUGACAUUUUGAAAUAAAAAAAAAACUUGGUAGCAAUGUAACUAAAAAAAUGACGUAAUGAACAUGGAUUUAAUACUUUAAGGGUAAUAUAAUAAUUUUAGUGUAGACAUGUUUUAUUUUAUAAAUAUUAUUUAUAGUGUAGACAUGUGAAUUUUGAAUAAUUUAAAAAUAUCUUCAAUUUUAUGAAAUUUAAACAUACAUUUAGUGUAGACAUGUUUUAUUUUAUAAAUAUUAUUUAUAGUGUUUUUGAUUGGAGUUUGAAAAUUAUACAACUUAGCUAUAUCAGUUAAUUACUUAUAUUAAAAAAUAAUAUAAGAAAAUACUAAAAAGAAAAAAAUAGUAUAAUUACUAAAAUGGUUGAAGAGUUAUAUUAAAGUUUCAACAUUUUCUCUCUAUCAAAAUUUAUCUCAGAUAAAUCAUGAAUAAUCUAACUCAUAAAAAAUAUAUAUAUAUUUAUCUCAAAUUGAUUUCUUUACUAGCUUUUGUAAUAUAAUAUCUCCUAUUCUAUUUAAUAGGACCAAAUUUAAUUAAAAUUUCUUCCAUGAAUUUAUAAAUUUUUCAGGAUGGUGUGAUCUAAAGAAGCUUGAAGUAUUGGAUGUGAGCAACAAUGCACUUGAGGGGAUGCUUCCUCGUUGUUUUAGUAACUUGACAUCUCUUCGUGUGUUAGAUGUUUCAAGAAACCAUUUUCAAAUUCCGCUGUCAUUUGCACCAUUUGCAAACCUUUCAAACCUCAAAGUCCUUUCGAUUAAUGAAAACAAGAUGGUAAUGGAAUCUUCCUUUUAUACCUCAAUCCCAAAGUUCCAAUUGGAAGUCAUCAGUCUGCCAAAGUGCAUAGCAUCUCAACAACUCAGUCGUAAAUUUCCUACCUUCCUUUACUACCAAUAUGACUUGAGAUAUGUGGAUCUUUCUCAUAACAAUCUCAGUGGAACUGUACCAACUUGGUUGCUAGAAAACAACACAAAGUUAGAAGAUCUCAUCUUGAAGGGUAAUUCAUUUACAGGUCCUCUCUCACUUUCGUCGGCUCUUAUUUCUGAUGUAUCUUCAAUUGACAUAUCUGAAAACAAAUUACAAGGUCAAAUUCCAACUGGUAUAUGUUCAACUUUUCCACAUUUGAGUCGGUUAUUCUUAUCCAAGAAUGCUUUUGAAGGUAAUAUCCCACUUUGUUUAAGUGGCAUGAAGGACUUAUCAUUUUUAGAUCUAUCAGACAAUCAUUUGUAUGGAAAAGUACCAGAAGAGUUGAUCACGAAAGGCUCACUGACCAUUUUGAGACUAUCAAAUAACAACCUCAGUGGAAAUGUAGUUCCUGUGAUUCUCAGCGCAAAUAGGGUGCAGCAUUUAUAUUUGGAUGGAAAUAAUUUUUCAGGAGAGAUGACAAAUGUUGAUGUGUCUACUUUUGAGUUUCCAAAUUCACUAAGCGAAAUUGAUCUCAGUAACAACAAGUUGCAUGGAAAGCUCCCAAGAUGGAUAGGGAAUGCAUCGUUUUUGCAGAGAUUAGCUAUGUCCAACAAUGGUUUUGAAGGUUCCAUUCCAAUGGAAUUUUGCAAGUUGAAUAGGUUGGAAUUUUUGGAUCUUUCUCAAAAUAAUUUAUCUGGCUCUAUACCGUCAUGUUUUAAUCCACCAUACAUAGAGCAUGUCCACCUCCACGGGAAUAGACUGAGAGGCCCACUAUCACUUGCUUUUUAUAAUAGCUCUUCAAUAGUGACUUUAGAUCUUAGAGGAAACAAUUUGACAGGUAGUAUUCCAAAAUGGAUUUACACGCUUUCUUCUUUGAGUGUUCUUCUCUUGAAAGAUAAUCAUUUUCAUGGUAAAGUUCCUGUUGAGUUAUGCAAGUUGCAUUCUUUAAGCAUCAUAGAUCUUUCUCAAAAUAUGUUUUCUGGUCCUAUACCUUCUUGUUUGGGAAAUUUAUCUCUUCCAAUGCAAAGGAAGAAGAUUCUAGAAAUUGGGUUCUAUAGGCCAUCUAUAGAAGAGCAUGAAACAACACUAAAUUUUGGAAUGGAUCUUUACUAUCCUGAUAGCUACUUAGAAGAAGUAAUAGAGUUCACAACAAAGAGUGGGCUCUUUUUGUACGAGGGCAACAUCCUUUCAUAUAUGACCGGGAUUGAUUUAUCUUGCAACAACUUAACUGGUCAUAUCCCAUCAGAAUUAGGGAACUUGAGUGAAAUCUAUUCUUUAAACCUUUCACAUAAUAAGUUGACCGGAGUUAUACCCUCGUCAUUUGCAAAACUUCAUCAAAUUGAGAGUUUGGACCUUUCUUACAACAACUUGAGUGGUGAAAUCCCCAAUCAGUUGGUAGAGUUGAACUCUUUGGAGAUUUUCAGUGUGGCAUACAACAACUUGUCAGGUAGUAUUCCCGAACCAAAAGCUCAAUUUGGGACCUUUAUUGAAAACAGUUAUGAAGGAAACCCUUUUCUUUGUGGACCUAUACUGCAUAAAAGUUGUUCCAAAACCGAUUCACCAUCAACAAUAUCAACUGUAUCAGAAGAUAAAGGAGAAGAUGGUUUGAUAGAUACUUAUGAUUUUUGUGUGAGCUUUUUGGUUUCUUAUGUAGUUGUGUUGUUGACAAUUUUUGUUGUCCUCUACAUAAAUCCAUACUGGCGAAGAGCUUGGUUUUCUCUUGUUGGGAAAUGCAUUACCACCUGUCGCUACUCAAAUGUGGGCAAUUUUCUUACUUAUCACAUUUUCAAGCGAUGUGUUUAGCUACUCAAAUUGUGAUUUGAUUUCCACACCUAAAUGUUUAAUUAUGCUAAGUUGAGCGAUAAUGAAUAUUUUGUUGAUUUUUGCAUUUUGAAUAAAAGCUCUUUUAUCUUGUGGUUUUAUCAUUUUCAACCAUCUAUUUCUUUUUUCUUCUAUGAAAUUUAAUAUAAAAUCAUAAUCCAUUAUUAUGUAUAUGCAAUAUCUCUUUAAAUUAAAUUAAAUUAACUGCCUAGCGUUCACUAGUGCAUAGUAAAAAGGAAAUCUAAUGUAAAAUUAAAUCAAACAUACUACAGAAUUGAAUCUAAAACUGGAAUAUUUUAAAACCUCACAAACAAUGCAAUUCUUUAUUCCUCUUUUCCUCUCAAGUUAUUUUGUAUCAUGUUAUAUUUUACAUAAUUAUUCGUAUCAUCAAAUUUUAAAAAAAAUUUAAUAUUUUGAUAUCAUGUUCAUAUUAUGCUUUAAUUCACAAUGUAUUUUGUAUAAUAUGUUAUAACAAUUCAAUUUAAAAAACAAGCAAUUAUCUUAUUUUUGCAUACCGUAAUAUACAUUUACAUGUUAAUAAUUCUUUGUACAUAAAUUUUGACAUGUUCGUAUAUUCGAGUCAUUAUAAUUUUAUUAUUUGUAAUAUGACAUGUUUUACUUACCCUUAAUAUUGUGUCAUGAUAAUUAUAACUCGAUUGGCAGUGUACCAAAUAUUUUUCUAAUAAAAAAUAGUAUUUUAUUCUAUUUACCAAAUCCUUAUCAACUUUAUUUUCUCACCAACAAAACAUACAUUCAAAGUUCAAAUAAGUUCCACACCCAUUUUUUUACUGCAAUACUCAAGAAUAUGCUCAUCAUCAGAAAUCUGAAAUAUUCCACUCUAAUUAACAUUAUGAUUCUGUAAACAACAAAAAAGUGUGAUACUUUUUUAAAGCUCUUUUUUUUUCUUUAAUGAAAUGGGAUUGGUAAAAAAUCCGCACAUGUGUCGUGUGUGAAGGUGGUCAGGUUGUCUAUUCAUACUGUAAUAAGUAGCUAAUUAUAGUUGAUCCUACAAAAUCAAAUUUAAUUCAGGUAUCUAUAUAUUCUGAAGACUGGACAGACCUUAGAAGCUCCUUCAAAUUUGCUAGAACAUGCCGUGGUCCUAAACUCUUUACACCGAUGAAAUUCAAAAGUUGCUCUAUAUCCUGCAAUCACAGUAAAGAUUAUGCAAGCUUUUCAGAACGAAUAACAUAACAAGCAAAAGGCAAUCAAAAUACUGUGAUCUCGAUAAUGUUCUUUGCCGAAAAGGAACAUAAACAUAACCUGAAAACAUCAGUGAAGGCUCAUCAGAUUUGCUUAGCAACCUUACAUACACAUGUAAAAAGCUUUGCUUUUGGAUGUAAGGUGUGACUAUCAUCACAGUCUUUCCUAAUUAGCUGAUAACCCUAUAUCUAACAUUUAUCAGGGCUAAGCAAAUUAACAUACAUAAUGUAAAGGAAUUUGACCAUAAGAUCCAACAGAAAACUUAAUAAAAGAUAAUCAACAUAGAAAGUUAAAAGGCAAUGCAAACUUAUUACAAUGAUGCAAGUGGAUCAAAAGAAAGCACUCUAUAAGGAAUUUGCAUUUAAGGCAUUGUAAACAGAAAAAAAAAUAAUAAAACUUUUUGGAAAGUAUUUUCAAAGAGGAGACAAAAACAGGGUAGAAAAAAUGUUUGGUCCUUCCUUUUUCUAUUUCUACUGUGGUGAAAAAGCCUUUUUGGGUUAAAAGUGUUUUUACACUGCAGAAGUGUUUUUCCACUGCAGAAGUGAUGAAGAACACAUAGCUUUGUAGUCAAAAACCUACUGCUUUUGGCUUUUGCAUUUCGAAGUGAAAAUUAUAAAAAUACUCUUAGAUUAAUUUAUAUUUUAUAUAUUAUUAUAUUAAAUUGUUAAAUCUUAUUUAUUAUUAUAUUUAAUUUUUUUCAAAAUAUUUUAUACAUCAUCAAUUUUACAAAUAAUUUAUAUUAAUUACUUUUAAAAGUUAUAUUUCAUGUAUCAUUAUAUUAAAUUAUUUAAAUAUCAUAUAACAUCACUAAUUUUCUACUUUCUACCAUCAUGUCUAAAAUAGACAUUUUAACUUUCAACCGCAAUUUUUGGCAGCAAUGAACAACACUAAAAACUAACAAACACACUUUUCCGCACCACAUUUCAAAAACACUUUUUUCUAAACGCACUUUUGAACUAGUCCUUAGUCUAUCAUGCAUCAACUCUUCAUUUUUCUUUAACUACCCAUGUCCGACUUCGAACAUGGAUAUGGAGAUAUGACCAAGUCACAGUGACAUAGUUUUUAGUUAUGGGGAAUGGGAUUCGAGUGCUGGACCUCCUUCUAGAUGCAUGGUGGGACUUCAUCACAUUUUUCAAAUUUGUUGAUAAUCCUUCACCUAAUCUGCCGGUGAAGUUUAUAGAUAGUCUUAAGUGUCUAUCACAAGAACCUAGAUAUUGUAAAUCAAAUAUCUUCCAAACAAUUCAACCAUGAUAUUAAUGAUGAUGGAAGCAAGAUUAUCCACUAUCAAUGACAUAAAAUGAGCUGUAAAUGCUGACGAACAAACAUGCACUGUUUUUCCAACCUGUGGAUUGAAGAGCAUUGACAAGCUAACUUUGCAGACCAUUUGAAUCCAAUACUAUACAUAAAAAUGCCAAAGGAGAAUAAUUCAUCUUGGAAAAAGAAUUACUAAUAUGCAAAAGCUUACCUUGUUUAACAAGAACACAGCAUAUGCUGCUCUUGUCGUGUCUUGACCUUCUAAAAACAGCGGAAAUUCUGCCAGCUUUACAUUUGCUGAAAGUGUUGUAUCCAAUGACAAAUCAGAAGAUGCAGGGUCUAUUGAAGACGCAUGGUCAUUAAUAUAUGAGCGAGAACCACCCAAGCGCAGAGGAUAACGCAAGGGAACUUGUAAAUAGGAUGCAAUUAGUGAAACAGCCUGCAAAUGAUGAAAUAACAGGAAACAAGAAACAAUAAUAGGUAUGAUUAAAAUUAUAGCCUCAGCAUGAGAAACAAGCAAUCAAGAUGCAGCCCACUAUACCAUAUUACCAUCCUAGCAAUUAAAAAUUACUACAGCAUCUUCAAGCAACAAGGGAUUGUAGGUGGUAGGUCAAAAAACUUGAUAUCCACAGCUUGAUAUUAUCAGAAAAAACAAAUUCAGUAAUAAAUGAUAACUUCACAGAAGAAAUAGAACGCACAUGUGCAACAUAUCCCAAGGCAGUUGCAGAUCUCUGAACCUCCUUUUUGUCAGUGAAAAAACUCAUCUUUGUAAAAGGAAGCAAGGUGAGAUUCAGACCUAAAAUUGUCAACGAUCCUUGAUUGACGGGCUUUGAUGCAGAAGGAUUCCCUAGUGAAGAUAGGAACAAAGGAACUUCAUAUCAAUACAUCACCAGACACCACCUCUUUGUGAAAGUCAAAACAAAAUUCAAAAAAAUAUAAUCAUGAAAGUAAGAGAUAUGUAAAAAGUUCAUAAUAUUCAAGAGCAAAAAAAAAUUGUUUUGAUAUGAGGAGAAUUGAAUAGUAGAUUGCUAAAAGAGGAAUAACUGAAUACAACCAUCAUAACCAAAAGAAGAGUCAAGUGAUAGGUAAUGGUACUCCCUAAGCUGUUUAGGAAUCAUAAAAGACUUGUCCAGUUGACAAAAAUAACUCAUUUUAUUCAUAUUGGACCAACCAUAUUUGAUAUCAAAGGAUAUGGAUAUCCAGGCAUGCCAUUUAUAGAUAUUCCCAGUGUUGCAAGAAGGAAUUGUUCAAGAGAAAGAAGCUGCUAUUGUUGGUAAAGUUUUCCUCAAACCAUUUUGAACAUCCAAAAUCUCAAGAACAAAAAAGAAAACGUAGGAGGAAAUAUAACAAGCAUCACAACGGGUUCUCGAUGAUAUAAGUGAGAGGAUAAAUGUUAAUUAAGAUUAUAAAAAUAAACCACAAACUAAACAGGAAAGACAUGGAUUUCAAAACGAGGAGACUGGCUGCUAAUUAAAACCAUAUGCGGUGUUGUCUAGGGAGCAAGGCGCAUUCUAGGUGCUAACCUUUAUAUUGCCUCAAGCACAAGGCACAAAAGGAAGCGCUAGCCUGAGUGCAGUAAAGCGCAAUACGUAUAUGUGAGAGUUUUUGCAAGUCUGUGUGUCUACAACAUAAAAGUUUUAAGAUAUAUAGUAAACUCUAAAGUGUGGUCUGGUUUAUCCACAAAACUUGCAAAAUUUUUAUAGGUGAAUGCUCAAAUAUUGAGAAUUAUAGAGUUUGAUAUUAUCCCUUUCUUAUUAGUAAAGGUGUAUCAAAUGAAAACAGUAAAAAAUAAAAUAAAAUAUUGAGAAAUUCAACAAGGCAGGCUUUUUCUAAUGCCCAUUGCCUUACAAAAAAAGUGUGCCUAGGUGCACCAGGCAUACGCUUGAUCAAAUGGACCUCACCUGGAAGGGUCCAAGGCGUUUGGUUGUAUAAAACUAAGGCGUAGGCAUGCCUAGGCGCAUGCCUUGACGACACUGACCAUAUGUUGGCUUUAUUGCAAAGCAUUAGCAAUCCAAAACUACUAGCACAUUACCUAAUCUACUACUGCUAGAAUAGGACUCAAGUUCUUGCUCCUGUGCAGGUCCAACCAAGAUCUUUACAGGAUACAAUAAUGAAACUUGUGAUAUCAUAUAUUGUUGCCUUGCUCGAAGCUUCCUUUGCACAUUUUUAAGUUUAACACAACCCCUUUCUUCAGUGAGUAAUCUAUUUGCUUCCUGUGAUAAAAACAACAUAUAAUCAAUCAUGCCACGCAUGCAAGACUACCAACCAACUAUCUAACAAAAGAUACAAAGAAGUAGGAGAGCAAGAAGGGGAUAACCCUUGACUAUGCAAAGGAAUUCAUAGAAUGAGAAUCAUCUCAUCUAAGCCCCUCAACCACCUUCACAGGGGGUGGAGGUGCAAAGAGAGAGGUCUUAUUGAUCCGAGAGGAGAAUAUAUAACAUCUAAAGCUGAAUAAGAAGAAACCUUCAAAUAUAUCAUAAAUUCAGAAUUCAUGAUAAUAUAAAAAUGAAAUUCCAAAGCUAAUUUAAGCUAGAAUAAAAAUGCUUCACCUGUAAUCACUUCCUUGCUACAGAAAGAGAGGUACCAGCAACCAACAAUGAUCUUACUUCAGUACUAAGCAUUUCCUCCUGUUUUUUGGCAUCCUCUGUUGCAACUUUGCAAUGAGUUGACAUGUUUGCCAUAAAUACUUUCCUUGCCUCGAGUCUCUCACGCAUUUCCUCAAGCUCGUUCAGUUUAUUCAAAGACUCAUUUUUUACCAGCACAGCAUGUUCCCACCCAUUAAUCAGUGGGCCAAUUAAUUAGGUCACAGAAGACAAAACUAAAUUAUCACUCACCAGGUCCCCUUGAAGUGUCAUAUGGCUUUAACAAUUCAACGUGCAAUAUCUAGUAAAAGUAAAAUAAACAUAGAAGAAUGCAAAUGCAAUUCUUAAACGCCUUUAAAUGGACAACAUGAAACACUUUAAGAGCCCUAUAAAACAGAAAAGUGGAAAAAAAAUCUGAAAAGGAAAAAAAAAUGAAUUGAAACAAUAAAUCCAUCUGGUACAAACAGCAACAAAUCUCAAAAUAAGCUUUGGCUUUAGCCCAUUAAAGCCCGGGCAUCCGGCCAAAUAAACAGUGACUGCCAUGUCAACUUUUUGAGACGGUAGAAAAGAGCUCAAAAAUCUCAAUUUCCAAAAAUAAGGACAUAAGAAGGAAAACAAUUUACUUAUUCUUACAGUAGAAGAGCAAAAUGAAACUAAAUGAAGGAUAAGGGAACUGAUGCGAAUUGACAUUGUUAUUUUUGGGACUAAAAAGAAUACGCAGAUUGAAUAUUUAAGAUUUUGUAAGUGAAAAGUUCCAUUCACCGACACAAUUAUCAUCGCCCUUUAUCCCAGUAAAGCUUAAUUGACAAUUUUUCUGUCUCGUGUUCUUGCUAAAGCAUUUGAGCAACCCAACAGAAAUCAUUAUAUUUCAAACUGAAAUGAUUGGCUUUAACAAUUUCACAACCUAUACCGCCCAACCUAGUAAGUAAUUUAGGUGCAGACACCAGAAAUCUAUUUUCUUUGCACUCUACAACUAAAUAGCAUACCACUUAUCAAUCAAACACAGCUGAAAACUUCAGUGAGGGAACAUUAUGUAAAAUGAAAAAACUAUAACUUCAACUUGAUUCAUAGCUCGGCAAGUUCAGGGAAUUGGGACUUCUACCACGAUGAUCCAGUUCAAUGUGAAACAGUGAUCCAUAUAAUGCAUAUCGGUUCCCGGAACAAGAGGUAAAACCAGCAAAUUAGGUAAACAAUGAUCCUACUAUAUUUCAGAAUAGCAACAUUGAGCAUGAAAGCUAAAAUUAUAGCAUAUUAUGGGUCCUUGCUCUCUACAACUACAUAUAAAAUUACUAAACAAUAUUACUACAUUAAGGAUCCAGAAAAACUUUGUUUCAAUUGUUGAUCACUUGAUCCAACUAUUUUAGAAAGUUUAUUCUUCUUUUUCCUUUCCCUUAUUUUCUAAAUCAGGAAAAACAGUAGCAUAUAAAUUGGAUUACUACUCCAAGUUUCUGAAAUUUCAACAAUAUCCCUUUUACCUUUUCACUCAAGUCAUUACCCCCCAAUUAACAAAUAUAUUCCCAGUUUCCCUUUCCCUUCAAACACCCCUUUUUUUUUCCUCUACCCAAAUUCAGCUUAUGUUCAAAAACCCAAAAUUGGUUUGCUAAAAUAACAUAAUUUUCAAACACAAAGAUAACCUAAUUUUAAUCAGAAAAAAAAAGCAUUACCUGAAUUAGUGACUGGAGUUUCUCUUGAAGACUUUGUUUCUUCUCAUUAGCUUCCUUAAGGGCAGAAGUUAAACUCCACAAUCUAGCUAGCUCGUUGUCGAAAUCUUCCCAUUCAAUUAGUUGCACAUUUUCAUGUGCAGCAUUGAUUUUCUUCGGGUCGGUAAUUAGGGUUUUGUCUCGGGCUUGUUCUCGAUUUUCCAUGAAAUAAUUGAAGAGGAAAGCUUUCGAUUCUGUAAGUUUAAAAAGGGAUCAUAGAUCGACCUCAUGGUACUGGAUCUCGCCCGGUUAGAGUGUUCUUUUUCACGCCGAUCGAAUCAUUUUCUCGGGAAACUUUGCUAGCUAGGGGUAAUUUUCUCGGGAAAAUGGAGGGAAAAACAGUUUCGGGAGUUUUUAUUUGGGGGAGUCUAAGGUAUAACGGAGAAUGACAGGUGGCGGUUAACGGAGGAAUCUCACGAUUCAUGUCAUUUUCACUUUUCCGAUUUAGAAAUUGCUUAAAUACUUUUAAAAAUAGAUAAUAAGAUAAACUUUCUUUUUGAAUAAGAUAAACUUUCAUUGAAAAUAAAUAAAUAAAGCUAAUAGAAUUUUACACAUUUAUCUUGUGUUUUAAAUUUAAUAAAUUAAAAAAUAUUUGAUGAUUUUUAAGUUGGUAAUUUUUUUUUAUAAAAAUUUGGUAACUUCUUUGAAAGUUGAUAUAAAAUGUAUCACGACCCGACUUGAGAUUUAAUUUGUCCUCGUCAGAAGUCCGACCCAAACAAGGGAAUAUGACUUGCCACUCACCAAUUUUUUAACCUUCCAACUUGCCAGCUUUAUGGAGUAACUCGGCACCUUGCGACACUACCUCACAUACCGUGAGAUUUCAGUACAAAUAUCUCUAAGGGUAUGUAUCAAGCUUAAGAGAAAUAACAUAUUAUUAUACAUAUUAUUUAGUUACCCCUAACAUGUCACGUCAAAAAAUCAUACUAUAAAAAAUAGUCCUCACAAGAGAGGAUAGAAAAAAAAAAAGUCAUCAACAAAAGUAAUUAAGUAACCUUUUUAUAAAACAAAAAGAUUUAUUUUAUUUUGAAGUAAAUUAAUUCUCUAACUUAUAUAAGAAAUUAAGUAAAAUCUUUUUAAAUAAUAAGACAUAAUUUCUCGAAAAAAAAUAAUCAAAUGAGAGCUAAUCAAAAUAAUUUAUUUUUUUAGGCCAAACAAUUUUACUUCAACUAUUUAUAAACACUUUUUAAUCAAUUUUCUUUUAACUCCCAUUAUAAAUUUUAUAAAAAGGAUAAUAUAUUAAAAAUACCCUUAAAUUAUUAGAUUUUGUAUAAAUAAACUCUUAUUUUUUUUAGUUAAAUAAACUCCUAAAUUAUUAAUUUUAGUCAUGAAAAUGUUGAUAUAAAAGUAUGAGAAUAAUUUAUUAAAUAAAAAAUUAAUUAUUUAAAAAUAUUUAAAAUAUUUAUAUACAUAAUAAACUUAAUUAAAUUCUCUAGAAAAAAAAUUUAUAUUCUUUUAAAUUUUAUGUUGAUAUAUUAUUUCUAUUUGUCUAAUAAAGUGCAUAACGAGGCAAUAACUAUUUUUAUGUAUAAAUUAAACAAUACUACAACUUCCGAAGUUAAUAAGAUUAUAUCUAUACUCACCAUCACAAUUAGAGACAGGGGUGAGUAUUCGAUCGAAUUAAGUUAAAAAAUUUUGAAUUAGUCGAGUUAACAAAUCUUAUUUUAGCAAUCGAAAUCAAUUUAAUUUUUUUUAAAUCAAAUCGAAUCGAGUCAAAAAAUUUCAAGUCGAAUUAACGAAUCCUAUUAUUUAUACUCAAUAUUGCGUUUAUAUGGGCUGAUUAUUUAACUGGUAGACGAAGUACAAGAUUAUUUAACUAUAUAAACAAUAUAAUGGUUUUGCAUUGUAACUUAAUAGGUAAACAAUAUUUUUAUCAUAUAUUAGUCAAAGUUGAUUGCAUCAACAAUAAGUUAAGAUAAAAACCUCAAAUUUUUAAAUAUUUUUACCUCAAUAUAAAAUUUAAGAGCUUUCAUGUAUAAAAACUAAAGGUUAGAGCUUUCAUGUUUAAGGGCUUAUUUAUACUUCAUCUUUAUAAAAAAAACACUUAAAUAAAAGUUUAAAUUAUAUAGUUAAUCACUCAAUUUUAGUAAAUUUUCAUUUUAGUCACUCGUUGUUAAUUUGGCUAAUGUAAAUAUUACAUUACACUCAUUUUAGUCACCUAAUUUUUAUAAGAUAGAAUUAAUUUUAUUUUUCGGUAAAAAAAAAAAAAAAACUCAAAAUUUUACAAGCAAGUACCUAGGUUUUUAUAGAAAAAACUUGGAGUUUUAUAUGAAAAACCUACGUUUUUAUUGGAAUAGUCAUAUUAUCUUUUUUUAUUUCAUUUAUAAAAUUAAUUUUAGCUUUUUCAAUGAAAAGAAAACCUAAUUUUUUACAAGAAAAUCAUUUUAUCUUUUUAAUUUCUUUUACUUUCAUAUUUAGAAUUAAUUUUAAUUUUUUUUCCAAUAACAAUGAAAAAAAACUUGGAUUUUUACAAUGAGUUUGUUGGGUUUCCACGGAGAAUUGCUAGAGUUUUAUGAAUAACUCAAUUCCUUAAAAAAUUCUAAAAAAAUUAGAAAAAUAAGAUUAAUUAAAAAAAUGGAGCAAAAUGAAAAUUUACUAAAAGUAGAUGGCUAAAAUGAAUAUACAAUUGCAUUUUCGUUAGCCAAAUUAACAUGUGAUCAAAAUGAAAUAUUAUUAAAAUGAAAAAACUAUUUAAAGAAAGUGAUUUAUUUACACCCUGAUUUUAUGAGCAAAUUCCCCAGCACAAAGCCUAUUUUGACAAUAACAGUUCAAAUGAAAAGUCUUCGCUUACUCUUUGAACGAAACUCUUCUCCCGCUAAAACCACCUCUUCUUCCUCCAAAUUCAAACGCCCAAAGCUUUCUUCCAUCUCUAAUGGGUUUUAUGGACAAGCUAUCCGAUGCUUCAAAAAGAUGAUGUUUUCAGGUGUGGACUUAGUAGUUUUCAUUGAGCUCAACCCUUUAUUCUAAUCUUUCUGAAUAAACUCAAGUUUGUCGUAUUUGCAGGAAUAAAACCCGAUGCGGUGGUCUUUCUUGCCCUCCUGACUGCAUGCUCACAUUCUGGACAAGUAGAUCUUGGGCUUAACUUCUUUGACAGCAUGAGGUUUGAUUACUCCAUUGAGCCAACCAUGAAGCAUUAUACGUUGGUCGUUGAUUUGUUAGGCAGGGCAGGCCGACUGGAUGAAGCAAUGAAGUUCAUACAAAGGAUGCCUAUAAGUCCUGAUUUUGUGGCAUGGGGAGCACUUUUUUGUGCUUGCAGAGCUCACAAAAAUAUUAAAAUGGCAGAACUAGUGUCAGAAAAGCUCCUUCAGCUUGAACCUAAACAUCCUGGGAGCUAUGUUUUCUUGUCAAAUGUUUAUGCAGCAGUUGGUAGAUGGGAAGAUGUGGAGAGGGUAAGAAUGUUGAUGCAGAAUCAAGCUGUUGGCAAAGAUCCGGGGUGGAGUUAUAUUGAAGUCAAUGGACAAGUGCAUAGUUUUGUAGCUGGUGAUCAUGAUCAUAAGCGUGCAAGAGAAAUAUACUUGAAAUUAGAGGAAAUAGUGUCUGGUGCAAGAGAGCAAGGAUAUAUGCCUGAAACUGGGUGGGUUCUUCAUAAUAUUGAGGAAGAAGAGAAGGAAGAUGCAUUAGGAAGUCACAGUGAGAAAUUGGCGCUUGCCUUUGCCUUAAUGAACACUCCUCCGGGGACAACUAUCAGGAUAGUGAAGAACUUAAGAGUAUGUGGAGAUUGCCAUUCUUUGAUGAAAUGUGCUAGUAAGAUGAGCCAAAGAGAAAUCAUAUUGAGAGAUAUAAAGAGAUUCCACCAUUUCAAGUAUGGGGUCUGCUCAUGUGGAGAUUAUUGGUAAAAUGGUAAGUAACAGCAACAUUAAUUUGCUUUGCUGUUAAUAGCACAUGAUUAGUGCUUCUACUUGGUUUAUUUAGAAUAAUGCUUUUAGUUAAAACAUGGAUGUAGCUACAGCAACACAAGUUUUUUUGUUUGAUAAUUGGUAGCAAGUACAUUAAAUUUCUCCAAUGGACCUUUCUGCACAUAUAUAUUAAACUUGAAACUCAUUAGUUAAGUUUGUACUUUAUUUAGGUAUCUAAUUAACGUUGUUAGAUUUUUUCAAUUUCAACUUAUCAUCUUGUGCCACUUCUUUCUCUUCCCUUUAGUGAAAUUUAGCACUUUAAAAGAUGGGUUGCAUUUUGCUCCCUCUGUCAAAAAAAAUGGACAGAUUAAGCUAUACACGUUAGAUCAAAGAGCAAAUAGGUCUUUUUGUUUAAAAAUCCAUCAAUUUUUGUUGUUAAAAAUCAAUCCAUUUACAUCAACAUAAAAUAUAUAACUGUUUGGGUAUCUCAUCAUCCAUGUUAGUUUUUAGCAAUACAAAUGGAUAGAAUUUUUAACAAAAAAAACCAGUUUAUUGUUUGAUCUAACAUACAAUGACUAAUUUGUCAAUUUUUUAAGUAAAUAAAGCAUAAUGCUAAUUGACUCUUAGUAUAAUAUCUCUAUGGUACUUUUAUCAAUACUAUCUCUAUUUAUGAAAUUAAAAAUACUUAAAUAAUUAGAUUUAUUGUUAUGUGUAUGUAAUAGCUAUUUGAAUUAAAUUAAAUUGACAAAUCAACGUACACUAGUGCAUACUAAAAAAAAUGUAAUAUAAAAUUAAACCAAAAUUGAAUCUCCUCAAACAUAUGGCAACUCUUCACUCCUCUUUCCCUCUGAAGUUAUUUUAAUUUAAAAUAUAUUUUGUAUAAUGUGUUAUAACAAUUCAACUAAACAAAGUGAUUCUCUUUGCAUAACAUAUUAUAUGCUUAUAUAAACUUUUACAUAAUUUGUUAUAGAUACAUUUUUAAUAAUUGAAUGAUGACUCCAUUAAAAAUGCAAUAUCAUAAUAAUUCUACAUUUCUUGCAUUAAUAUAAAAUUUUCCUUUUUUUUUCCUCCAAGCCUUGUUUAUUAUCUUGCCAACUUUCAGGCUAGCUAUCGCCCGCCUUUUUUUCCCUCCCAUCAAUCCUUUUUUUCUUUUUUCUUCUCAUUCACUCCACAUGUCUUCUUUCUUUUCAGUUUGUAAAUCUAUUUUAUGAGUAUCUUUAUUUUCUUCACAAGUUGUGAUAGACAGAUGACGACGCCUAUGUUCGUUAAAACUUCAUCGGCCACCAAUAAUUUUUCAGAAUAAUAAAUAAUUUCAUGAGCCGAUUUGGACCCUUGUUAUCAUAAGUUUUAUAUAUUUUUUAGUUUGUUUUUUCAUUGUUUAAUAGGUUUUUAGUUUUAGAAGUUUUUGUCUACUCUUGUAACACGUUUUUUAGUCUUGCUUAUGCAUGUAACCUUAGUUUUACAAGUGAUUUUAGAGAUGGUUUUGUUACCGUCUUCUCUAGUUUGGUGAAUGCUCAAUUCUUUUGUCCAUUUUUGCUCGUCACUUCCAUUCGGGGCUGAUUUUCCUUAUCGCAUUAAGUGCUUGCGAUCACUCCAAAUAUAUCGUGCUUAAGUUGUGAUAAAGCUUGUACAAGCCCAAUUUUUAUGCCCGGGCCCAAUUGACCCAACAAAACCGAACGGCCCAACAGACUAAGGCCCAAACCCAACAAAGACUAGGGUUUCAGAACCCUAGCCCCUCCAUCAGCGCCGCAUGCUAGGGUCUCUGACUUCUGCCCCGUCGGCGCAAACGGCGCACCUACCCCGUCCGUGUCACGUCUCCUCCAUCGCCCUACACCUGCAAACAAUAAAGAGAAGCAGACAACACAAAACAGGGGAAAGAUUGAAUCUUUUUUUUUUGUUCUUUCGGCUAUAAAGCCGAACGUAUCAAAUAAGAAAAAGGGGGGAUUUUUUGUAAAAAAAGAAAACCACAUCAGAAAUAAGAAAAGGAACAAAGGUUGCUGUGUUCUUCAUUUUAUUCUUUUUUGAUUCGUUUACUUUCAUUUAUUUUCAAACAAAUCCGUUAAAAAAUAUAUCAAUAAAAAGGAAAAGAAAAAAAGGAGCGCACCUGAAUCGCUCUCUGGCUCCGUCGACGGAGGUUCUCUCGCCGUCGUCGGCCCGGAUCUGAAGGAGGGAUUCUGAGCCCUUGUCUCGGCGCUCGUAGGGGUUCAAGGACCCGAUUUUCAAAUCGCCAGAAGGCCAGGCUUUUUAAAAACCCUUUGUUGCGCUUCGUUGGCCGCCGUUUCGGUGGCGGUGCGACGGACAGACGGACGGUGGUGAAAAGCCAAUCGUCGGAGGGCAUGAAGAGAGAGUGGGGGAAAGUGUUCUGAAUUUUUUUUUUUUAAAAGAGUUUUUUAGGGGUUUUGAUUUAUAUAAGGAUCCAAAACGGCGCCGUUUUGGAAGGGUCAGAAAGCCCCUAAAACGACGCCGUUUUUGCAUAAGACCCGAGACCCAACCCGUCUGACGGAAGGGAUAAUUCGCGUUUAGCCCUUCUGCUUUUUAAUUAUUUUAAAAUUAGGUUCUUUUAAUCUUUUGAAAUUUACCCGAAAAUUUUUUUCGUUUUCAAUUUGAUCCUUACCCAAACUACGUCGUUUUAAAGGAAGGGCCAUUUGCUUGGCUGGUCCCUCCAUGUUUUAUGGUUGUUCAGAGCAGUCCUUCCCUUUUCGUUUAUUUGCGUUUUGAACCCCCCGAAUUUUGUUUUAAUGUUUAAUCUAAUCCUUCUGCUAUUUUGUUUAUUUUCUUAAGAAAUUUAUUAUUAUUAUUAUUAUUAUUAUUAUUAUUACCAUCGAAUUUUAGAUUUAAUCAUAUAUAUAAAUAUACGUCCAUGAUAUAUACCUACUUUUUAUAUAUACUUUAUAAUUUAUAUAUACAUAUACACAUUUUAAUUUAUGUACAUAUCUACACAUAUUUUUCAUACUUUACUCAUAUAUAUAUACAUGUACUUAUACAUAUUCUUUAUAUCUUAAAAUCCAUAUUUUUCUUAUGUAUAUAUUUUAUAUUUUAUAUAUAUGUGUUUAUAUAUUCUACAAUAUAUAUUUAUAUGCAUAAUAAAUACAUAUCUAUAUACGUUUCGAUUUUUAUAAACACAUAUAUAUAUGUAUGCAUACCUUUAUAUUUCUUAUAUUAAAUACAUAUAUAUAUUUAUAUAUCCCUUUAUACUUCUAAAAUACAUAUAUUUUGUAUAUAUUCUUUAUAUUUUAUGAUUCCUAUAUGUACCCACAUAUAUACUUUUUGUAUUGUAUGAUUGUUAUUUACGUAUAUAUGUACGUACAUAUAUACUUACACCUAUUUUCAUGUAUAAUAGCCUUAUAAUAUGUGUACAUACAUGUAUUUUUCAUAUUUCCAUAUACAUACACAUAUAUCUUUUUAUUUUAUAUAAUCUUACUCAUUUUAUUUAUUUAUUUAUUUAUUUACAUGUCUAUUAUUAUUAUGCUCUAGUUUUUAUUUAUUUAUUUAUUAUUUGUUAUUGUGCUUGCUUGAUCCUUUUAUAUAUUAAUCUUAUUAUUUAUUUUUAUUUUGAUCAUGUCAUUUUACUUACAUUAUCAUCAUCAUUCCAUUACACUCAUUUUUUUGUUUAGAUUUCAAAAAAAAAGAAGAAAUUUUAAAAAUAAGUAACACUCGGUAUUUUGGAUCUUCGAGAGAAUCGAGUCCUAACGUAUUGGGUUCCGAUUUUCUUCGUUGAAUUUAAAUAAUCGAGAUUACUCUUUUAAAAAUGAUAAAAAAGCUCGUUAUCGAGAAUUCAAUACGUUGUGUCCCAAUGGAUUGGACGUAACACGGUGUUUUCUCGAGACGAGGAUUUUUCGAAAUAAACGUAAUAUUCAAUGUUUAAUCUUUUGAGAAAUUGUGCCCUAACGUAUUGGGUUGUGAUUUCUUCAUUUGAUUUAAACAAUUGAAUAUCCUUUUAAACUUUAUUACAUGGAUCUUUUCAAACUCAAGUUUUAAACAACCUCGGGAAUUAAAAGAGGAUCGUGUCUUAACUUACUGGUCGUAAUCCCUUUUUUAAUUCGAGAUCGUUAAAUAUCUUUUAAAUAAGCUUUUUUCAUUCGUGUAUUGGGAAUUCGACAUAUUGUGUCUUAACUUGCUAGAUAUGAUAUUCUGUCUCGAAUAACGUGAAAUAUGCCCCUUUUCCUGAAAAAUUUCAACGUUUUAAUACAAGGAUCGUAUUUUUAAAAUUCUUCUAAGUUCUCAAUUUUCGACACUAAGACAUUAACUAAUCAACUAGGUACCAAUUUUGGGCGUAUCGAGGGUGCUAAUCCUUCCUCGUGCGUAACCGACUCCCGAACCCGUUUUUCUGAAUUUCGUAGACCAGACUUGUUGUUUUAAUAAAAUUAAAUUGUUUAUUAAAAACAACCACUUUUCGAGGUGAUCCAAUCACCCCUCAUAAAAAAGGAUUGGUGGCGACUCCCGUUUUUUUAUUUUCGUCAAAACCCAAGUCGACCCCGUUUUUUAUCCAAAAAAAUGGUGUCAACAAAGCCAAUUGUCAACAUGUCAUGACGUUCUAUUUAUGCUAAGGCUAAAGCCUUCGUUGGGUUGUUGGAGCUUGUCAUUUACCAUCUACGACGAGUGCUUAUUUUUUUCCCUGAAUUGUAUGAUUCCAUUCAUUGAAUGAAUUAACGAAUUUACCUUUCAAAAGAAAAAAAAAUUCAUAAAUUUUGAAAUACAAAAUGAAUGUGUUUUGAUAUUUUUAGGGCAAUGGUUUAGUGGUUUAAAUUUUUUUAUUUAAUAUGGUGAAUUUAAUUAUAAUUUUUUAUUUAUUAGAUAGUAGAAUAUCUCUUACCAUUUAUAAGUAAGUACAAUUAAGUUUAGGUUAAAAUAUUUUAUUAAAUUUUUGGACUUUUCACAAAUUUUAAAUUUAAUCUGUUUACUUUUAUUCAAGAAUUUAAUCUCUCUGCAUAUAAAGGAGGUAAUUAUGGCAAGGGGAAUUACCAUGGCAGAGGUAGCGGAGGCUGAGGAAGAGAUGCUGGAUAUGCUGAAGAAAGAUAGAUGGCUGAGAAACAGAAAAACUUUAGGAACAAAAUUCAGUGUUAGAAGUAUGGGGAUGUGAAGGCAGAUUGUUGGAAAAGGGGAAAACAAGCAAAUUAUGCGGAAGAUGAUGAAGAGAUUUAAGUUAUUUAUGAGCUGUCUAGAUGACACCAUAGCUUCAACUAACAUUUGGCUUCAAGGGCGUAUAUCUCAUGAUGAAGAGAUUGUCUCUCUUCUUUUUUCUCAUAACAUAUUAUACGCCAUGAUAAUAAAUUUUGAUAUGCCUAUAAAUUUGAGUCUCUAUUAUUUGUAAUAUGACAUGUUUUAAUUAUUUUUUAUAUUAUGCCAUGAUUUGGUUCACUCCAUAAGUUAUAUAAAUUUAUUAUAAUAAUUCAAUUAAUUUAAUUUAGAUUAAUUUUACAUUUUUGUCCUAACUUUAGUUUUUAAUAAUUGAAUCAUCCCACCAUUAUAUUCAAUUACAAGUGUAAUACGAUUUUGCGUCAUCCCGCACCAUUAUUCUCAGUGUAAUUUUUGGUAGUGAGCAUUGAAGGGGAGAGAGAGAGAGAACAAAGAAAGAACUUACUGUAAUUUUUGGUGUAUGUAAUCGAUAACCCUCAAUGCUUAAAAUGAAAAAGAAAAUAGAAAACAAACGUGGCAAAGUUAGUUACAAUGCCAGCUAAUUCGUUAUUGCUAUCCACAUGAAGAAUUUUAUAACCCCAACUACACGAUUCUAUGUCUACCAGCUCUCACUUUUCAUAUUUUUUGGCCAUUAGUUAUUCUAAGAUUUAACAUCACCGUUAAGCCAUGUUUAAACUCUUUUUUUUAUAUAAUAAUUAUAUUAUAUUUAAAAUUGAAAAAACUAACCAACCAAAUAUAUAUUAAUUAAUUAAUAGAAGUUUUUUGGUCAUCGAUUAAAAUAAAUCAAGAAAGACGUUGGAACCACCAACUUCUCUUUAAGAACAACACGAAUACAAGAAUCUAUGCACAACAAGUUCUAAAAUGUAUUAAGUAAAUUCAUCAUCAUGCCUUAAAAAAAGAAGAUCUCGAUAUAUCUGCUUUUGCCAAAGCAUCCGCCAUACCAUUACUUUGCCAGUGAAUAAUUGUGAAUUGAAACUUAGCCAAUUGAGUGAUAUUAAUUAUAGAAAUGAUUCUUCUUGCAACCAUAGAUGAAACACCACUGAGACUAACAAACUUGGAGAAACUUGAUUUGAGUUUUAACAUCUUCAGGAACAACACAAUUUCGUUUCUUGAAGGACUUUCAAACUUAAAUUAGUCCUUGGAUAUGCAUAAUAACACUCUGCAAGGCUCAUUAAUAGAUAUUAAAGGUACUGAAGCCAUAACUUUUUUUUCUUGAUAAUUCUUUUUAAAAUAUUUCAUAAUUAAUUGUUCUGAAUUUGUACAUUCACUUCUCACAUUUCUGGGUUUUUUUUGUCCUCAACUAAAUUAAACUUAUGCAAAUUUCUUGAAUAUUUAAGUUAAGAGUUAACGUCAAAGUCAAGAGUUGAUAAGUAUUUUGUGGUCCAUUCAUAUCUUUAUUACAAAAAAAAAAAAAUAUUCAAGAAAUUUGCAGCUAGUUGGAGUUUUGCAAUAAGGAAUUUCCACCAAGAGUUUUGGAGGAAUCAUAUCUCUAACAAAAAAAAAAAAGACCUUCAUUUGACUAAAUUUUUUAGUAUUUAUUUUAACUUCCAUUUUUAUUAAAAAAAAGGUAAAAAAUAUGCCAAACAGGGUCUUUAGGUUACUUUUUUUAGAACUAUAUUAUGUUAUAGUACCAUAUAAGUUAGAGGAGCACAAGUUUAGAUUCAUCCAAUUUUUGAGGAAUUAAUUAAAUAUAUAUUAUUUUAAUAUUAUAGUGUAUAGGGGCAAAGUUAGAAAAAAAUUUUGUGGAGUCGAAAUUAAAUUAUAGUUUUUACAAUAGUUAAAAAAAACAAUUUCACUAUUUUAAAAGCAUAUAUGUUUAUAAUUUUUAAAGAAUUAAAUUAAAUUUUUAUCAAUUUUAGGGGGUCAAUGUGCAAUUUUAUCUUUACUAAUUUCAGUUUUUGAAUUGGAUGAGGAUAUGUAUAGGAUUGAGCAAUUUAACAAAUUUGAAGAAACUCGAUUUAAGUUGGAAUGAAAUUGAAAGCUUUCAAUCCUUAAAUGGUAUGCAUUUAUAUUUAACCAAUUACCUAAAUUCUUAUAUAUAAUAAAAGUUUAUGCCAAUUCAUGUUAGUGAUGAAAUUAUAUAAAUCUUUUAUUGAUGGUGGUCGAAAAUUAGAGUUGACCCACUUGGAAGAGCUUUAUUUAGAUGGAAAUCAGUUCAAUACUAGUGUAUUUGCAUCCCUUAAGAAGCUUUCAAAUUUGAAAUCUUUGAGCAUAUGGGGCAAUGGAUUGAAAGGUAAAAAUAUUAGAUUUUUAACAAGAAUAUAAUAAUGUUGGAAGAGAAUAUAAUGAAGUUGAUUUUGUUGUUUUUGUUUUCCUAGAUUUGGAAACAUUUAUCAACUUAAGGGAACUAGAUAUGAGGGGUAAUGAAUCCACCAAUGUAUCAUUUAAUUAAACUUUCAUUUUUGUUCAAAAUUUAGAAAUUUAGUUUCAAUUCUUAGUAAAGGUUAUUGUGAUAGAUACUAAAAAAAAAUUAUAUCAUUUCAUACUUGAAACAAAUGGGUGGAAAAACAGAAUUCAGUUUUUAAAAAAAAAAUUUAAGAAAUAAGGGUUUGGUGAAAAGAUCUUCUAAAUCCUUAUAGUUUUCUUGGUUUUCUUUCGUCGGGAAAUGCAUCACCACCUGUCGUUUCUCAAUUGGAGGCAGCUGUCUUGCGUAUUACAUCUUCAAGCGAUGUGUUUAACUAUCAUGAAGAUUUAUGCAAAGUUUGUUCAUGUUGUCUUGGGAAAAAAUUCUGCUAUGAUCUUUUAUAUCAGGUGAUCACCUGAUUGUUUUUGGUGCUAAGUCGGAUUUUGUUUAUUUUAUAUUUUGAUUAAAGCUUUUAUCUUUGUGUGAAGGAAGCUUAUAACCUUUGUCUUGUCGGUUUUAUUGUUGUAGACAUAUAGUCAAUUAUAUUCACUCUUCCAUCCAUCUCCAAGUUAUUUGGUAUUAAAUAUCUUUUUUAAAUUAUAUUCUGCUUUAUUAAAUAAAAUUCCAAAUAAAAACCAAGUUUAUAUCUUUUUCAAACACUUCUCUCUAUGCAUUUAUGACAUGUUUUUCGAUAUAAAAGUUAUAUACACAAGCAGAUAUUCCUACUCUUUAGAUUUGCUAGGCACCCAUGCAUACAUAUGUAGAAGUAUUUGCUUUGGGAUGUAAUGUGGUGAGACUAUCAUCACAGUUUUUCUUAAGACAAAUGUGAAAGAAAUAGAUUAUUAGAUCCAACAGUAAACAAAGGGGAUCAAACUUAAGUUAAUCCUACUCUUCAUUUUUAUAUCUAAUCAUUUACGAACAUGGUUUUUAGUCAAGGGGGGUUGGGUUUGAGUGGUCGACCCAUUUUUUAGGUGUAAGAUGAGUUUAUCAUUUUCAAAUUUGUUGAUAAUCCUUCAUUUAAUCUGCAGUGGAGUUGAUAGAUAGUCUUAAGAUACUGCCCCAAGAAACUAGAUAUAGUAAAUGUUGGUGUUGGCUUUGGGAUUAAAAGGCUGCCGCCUCAACCUUGCUAUAAAAGCAGCCCAAAUUUGAUCUCCCACUUUAUUUGUAGACAACUAUUUACUUUGGAGAAGUCUUUUAAUUGAGGGUUUCGUUAAUUUGUAAAUCUUAUCAUACGGUGUGGAUGUUGGAGAAUGUAGGCAUUUUGUUAAACCUCUUAAAUUUAGUGUGUGUUUUCCUUUAUUAUUUUAUUUGUAUUUAUUGGUUUUUCUGUUACGUUUUAAUAUUCAAUUAUGAUUUGGUGGGUUAAUCCGUUGUGUUGAGUAGUUUCAAUUUACUUUUGGUGUUCAUUAUUGAAGUUACAUUAACAUUAUUAAUUCUCAAUUUAGCAUCAUAAUUUUAAUAACCACAUAAUUUUAAUUUUUAAAUGUUAGAGAAUUAAUAAUGUUAGUUAUUUUAAUGAAUCCAUAACAUUAAUAUCAAUAAAAGGAAUAAAAUAUAUCAAAUUAAAUAAUAAAAACUAAAAUUUUAAUUCAAUUGAGCAAGUCUAGGGAUUAAAAUUAUAAAUUGACGUAUAAUAAUUUCUCAGGCAUUAAUUGUGAGAUUAUUUCCAUGAGGGGGGCCUAGAUAAGCUCAAGGUUGAUGCAGAAAUCAAUAGUCAACAUUUGAAAGUUAAUACAAUGAAUUAUGUGACUGUUGAUAUAUGUAAUGAUAUUUUCUUAACAAUUUCCUCCAACUACUUCGUAGAUGCAUGGUGUUAUAUCACAUCACAAUGGGUGACCAAAUGCAUAUAAUUGAGAUUGAGAGUUUGGACCUUUCUUACAAUAGCUUGAGUGGUGAAAAUAAUUAUUUAUAAAUUUUAUACUUCAAAAACUAAUGAAAUAUUCAAAUUAAGAAUAGUGAAUUAUUAUGAUAAUGGAUAGUUUUAAAGUAGUGGUCUAGUAGAAAUUUUAAAUUUAAAUAUAGUUGAUAUAAUUAAAUUAUAAAAAAAACAUUAAUUAUUAAAUUGCAUUUAAUUACAUUAGUUGUUGUGAUUACCUAUUUCUCCAAAACGAAAAGCAUAAUCAUAAUAAUUUUUAAAGCUAUCAAAAUUCAGAUUCCCAAACCUCAUGUGAUUGCCAUAGAAAACCUUUUUUCACAAAACUACAUUUUUCUACACGGUAGGAACUUUCCUGGUAAAACAAGACAUACUUUUCUACACAUUUAAUCAAAUUAUGUCAAUAUCAGUUGGCCAUCAAAAUUCAGAUUCCCAAACCCCAUGUGAUUGCCACAAAUAAACUACAUUUUUCUACACGAUAAGAACUUUCCUCGUAAACCAAGUUGGAACCUUUUAAUAGUUUAUAAAAAAACCUUUAAAAAAUAUUUUAGGGAUGUUAUUUUUAAAAUAUUUUUUCAUAACACUUUAAUUAUAUAAAAACUAAAAUUAGAAAUUGACUAGUAAUAAUUCUCAAGGUUAAGGUUGACACAGUAUGUUGAAUUUAUGUUUAAAUUUUGGGUUAUUUUUCUCAAUUAUAGAUUAAUUAAUAUUUUGUACAUUGUGAACUCCACGAACAAGAUUUAAUACAUGACACGUAUUUGAUUUAAUUUAAUUUAAUUUUUAUUUUAUAAAACUUUCAUUAUUAUUCAUUAUCAUUUACCGUAUAUAUAUUCCACUCCUUCUUACUAUAUCUCAACGGAGAAAGUGAAGGUUAUUCAAGGAAAUGGUAAUGUGUGUGUGUUUUUUUUUUUUAUGAAAUGGAUCCAGUUACUAGAUUUUAAUUUUAAUCUUCACUAAACAACAUUUGUUAGAUUUAUUAAGGUUUAUUAUUUCCAAAAUUUGGUGUAGAAAACAUAUUAUUAUAUGUAUAGAAGACCCUUUUUUCCAUAAAACUAAAAUUUCCCUCACAAUAAAAUACAAAACUCGUUCUCGUAAAUAUUUUGAAAAAUAAAAAAAUUUAAUAUUAUUAUUAAUUAACGAAUUACCAAUUUAAUAUAAAUAUAAAACUGUACUUUUAAGUUUAUAAAAUUUAUUAUUUAUCUUUGAUUCUGAAGAUAGAGAAAUUAGGGCCAUAACGACGACUUGGAUUAUGAUUGCACAUUUUCCAAGUCUCAUUUUUGUUAAUUAGGAAAACUGAUGGGCAUCUCCACUAAAUUUAUGUUGAAAAAUUUGGAGUUGUUGCGACAUAGGCACAAUAAACAUCUUUUAACAUUUAUAUGUUUGAGAAUUUAUCGAAUUGUAUCUUUGGGCUAAGUUGAUAUCGUUGGUUUUAUCAAGUCCAUCAAUGAAUAUUAUAGUACUUGGAGAAACUUAUUUGAAGGACCGAGUCAAAUUGGAUUGGAUCAAGUCUAUCUAAUUUCUUAAAUUGAGGAAGUUGGAACAGAUUGAAACAUUAGUACCUUAUUUGCCAAUGGCUCAUAUUACCUUAGUUGUUAUUAUUAUAUUGUAUUCUACUAUUUUAGUUGCCUUUUAGAAGGGAUUGUGAAUGAUCUUCAUUAGGUUAGCAAGUCUUAAAAUAUUUAUAUAAUUAAGAGACUUGUAUAGGUUAUUGUAUUGAUCAUUAUUUAUGUGAGUGUAUUUGAUUGUAAAACUUUUAUGUUGUGGUUUUGCAGGCAAAAUUCUUAAAGGGAGAAUUUAGUGAUGAGAGACUAGUCACCAAACUACAAGAGUGAAGAUUCUAAAUCAGGAUGUGUUAGAAUUAACUUCAUUGGUUAAUGUUGAUUUUUUUUUUAAAAAAGUUUCCAUGUCAUUAUGGUGAGAUGAAUUAUUUCAAACAAUAAAUUAAUGGAAAAUAACUCUUUUAAUAACCACAUAACUUUAAUUUUUAAAUGUGAGAGAAUUUAUGAUUUCUAGUUUCUAUUUUUUUUUAAAUCCACAUGAGCCAACUAAUGAAAUUUUUAAUAAUGUUAGUUAUUUUAACAAAUCCAUAACAUUAACAUCGAUAAGAGGAAAAAAUAUAUUAAAUUUGAACGUUAUGAAUUUACGAACUAAAAUUUAAAUAAUUUUCUUCUCCGACUUCCGACAUUGACUGUCAAAUCAACUUGGAUAAGGGUAGGAUCCAAGAGGGGCUGGCAAGGGCUGCGGCUCCCCUAAAAUGAAAAAUUUUCUAUUUAAGCCCUUUAUAAUUUAUAAAAUUUUAAAUUAGUAACAGUAGAUUUGCACUUUGGCUCCCCAAAAUAAUAAAAAAUUGAUUUAGUUCUCAAAAAAUUAUAAAGAUAUAAGCUAUUAAAAUGAUAAAAUUUCAUUUCUACUAUCGUAAAAAUAUACAAUUUAAUUCUAGCCCCCCCCCCCAAAAAAAAUUUCCUAGCUUUGUCCCUAACUUGGAUUUAAGGUAUGUUCUUUUACUCAUCGAUGGGUACUAAUUCACCGUACCGGUCGUCAAAUCAUCGUUUGAAACUCGCUAGUUAGACCUUAUUUUUCAAAAAAGAAAAACUUAACAGUCUAGUGACUUAAAUAAAAACUCUUGAAUAGUUUAGUGUCUUAAAUGAAAAUUUUUGAAUAGUUCAAUGAUCAUUUUAUAACUUUUUUGUAGUUGAAUGACCAAAUAAACUUACUAAAAAUUUAAUGACCUUGAACGUAAUUUACCCUAAUAAUUAAUAGGGUGGAAAAGAAUUUUACAACCCAAACUACAUGAUUUUAUGUCCAACUCAUACUCUUGGUUAAAAAGUCAACUAGAAAAUGACAGCACGGAAAACCAAGGAAAACCAAACACUAACUGGAGUGUUCAUCAAGUUUUAUAAUCUUAAUUAAAUUUAUUAAUAAUAUAUUUAAAAAUAUUUUUAUAUCAAUAUUUAAAAUUAAAUUAUCAAAAUAAUUAGGUGCAAUAGUAAUGAAUAUUGCAUUCUCAAGGGGAGAUGCAUGUUCGAACAUCAGAAAUGACAUUAUUAAGAAUGACAGUCACGAACUCCGAACAUGAAUUGUAAAUCAUAUUUAAAGAAUAUAAAUAUUAUGGUGGAAUCAGUUGCACUAUUAAGAGUUCUUGAUAACAUUAGUUAUAAAAAAAUACAAAAAUAUAAAUUAAUUUGAAAUUUAAUUUUUAUAUCGAGAAAUGAUAUUGUGAAAUUUUGUUUUUAAAAGCACAAAAAUAUAUAUAUUUUAACAUGGAAAAUAAGUAUAAACAUUUUUAACAUUUUAAUAAGAAUUAAUUAAAGGUGUCAACUAUUUAGACUAACUAAUAAUAUUAUAAAAGUAAGUGAAUUAAAUUAGGUUAAAUUAAAAUAUAAAUACAAAAUCUUAAAUUUAAAUAUAGUUAAUGUAAUUAAAUUAUAAAAAAAAUUAAUUAUUAAAUUACAUUUAAUUAAAUUAGUUGUUGUGAUUACCUAUUUCUCCAAAACGAAGAGCGUAAUUAAUCAUAAUAAAAUUUAAAUUUAGUGAAUCUCGGUUGGCUAUCAAAAUUCAAAUUCCCAAACCCCAUGUGAUUGCCACAAAUUAGUGCAUAGAAGACCUUUUUUCACAAAACUACAUUUUUCUACAGGAUAGGAACUUUCCUAGUAAAAGAAGACGUACUUAAUAAUAUAUUUUUAUGAGAGUGUUUAUACCUUUUAAUAGUUUAUAUAAAACCUUUAAAAAGUUGUACAUAUGUUUAUAGUAAUGAACAAAUGUUUAAAGUUUAGGUUAUUUUUCUCCAUUAUGGAUUAGUAUUUUGUUCAUUGUGAACUUCACGAAUAAGAUUUAAUACAUUAUAUGUAUAUGAUUUAAUUUAUUUUUAUUUUAUAAAACUUCCAUUAUUAUUCAUUAUCUGUUUUACUCAUUAAUGGAAUGUGGUGUUAUUAUUCAUUUACCGAAUACAUCAAAUAUUACCUUACAUCUAUUCCACUCCCUCUUACUAUAUCUCAAUGGAGAAAUUGAAGGUCAUUCAAGGAAAUGGUAACGUGUACUAUUCAUUGUUAUUCAUUAUUUGUUAUAUUCUAUGCUAUAUUUGUUAUUUCUAACACCUAGUUUACAUGAUUGAUGCCUUUGAUCAGCUUGGAUUUGCGGUCUUGUCCAGACAUUGCUUUAUGCUGAUUUCUUCUACUAUUACUUCCAGAGGUUUCUCACGCUCUGGAAAGCACUUCAUAGUACCUAUGUGAAUGAUUGCAACUUAUUUGAUUAUUAUGCCUGCAGCUGCAAGAAUAACAUGAAGCUCCAAUUACCAGCUUGAGAUUUUAAUGGUGCAAGUUUUGUAGUAGCAUACAUAGAUAUAAGGUGGUCAAUCUGCUUUGAUAACUGGUGCUUGAUAUUUUAUUUAUUUACCCCUUUGUUAGGGGUGCUUUUAGCAAGCUUUUAAGCAACAUAGCUUGGUUAAGACCCAAAUUCUAUAUGCCUUAAGAGAUUGUAUUGCAUAAUCUGUAUGUGGAUAUCCAAGGAUUGAUAAUCACGUUUGUUUUUAAUCUAUUGCAGAUAGUAAUUGAAAUAUUUAAAUUCGAAUAUUAUCCGAAUUUGUAAGAUUUAAAUUUACAAAGAGCCGAUCAGAUGUGUACAAUCAUUUCAAAUCUAUAGUAGUACAAUCAUUGGCUUAUCACCAGGACCAGCAAUGGCCUUGAAUGGCCAAUGCUUCAUAUUGCUGUGUACCAAAGGGUCAGUGAACCGACGACCAAUCAGAAGUUUAGCAUCGGAAGAGACUUUAAACAUUUUUGUUCAAAAACAUCCAAAGAGAGGAGACUAAGAAAUUUCCUGGACUUCCAACAUUUCCUUGAAUUGAAACCUUAUACCUAUAUUUUAGGCAUCAAAUCUCACAGGUUCAUGUUGAGUUCAAAAUCUACUUCUUUUGAAGUGUAACAGAGGCAUUCUCCAAUUGACUUGAAAGAAUCAUAAAAGCAGACGUAAGUUUUCCACCAAUUAGAACAUUUUGAAAAUUGAUGUCAAGCCCGAAAUGACCGUCACAAGUAAGCAUAUUAAACGUGUGAAGAGAAGACCUUAUUUUUCCACAUAACUAAAACUUUUUACACCAUAGGAACUUUCAUCGUCAUCAAGUUGGACAUAGAUGGAACUCACGUUAAACACACACAUAUAUAAAAUUUACAGCAAAGUUUUUAAGCAAAUAUGGAAUGUAGGUUUUGUUGGUAUAUUUUAUUGUAGGGUGUAAUUGAAUCUAUUCGAACUCAAUACGGUUAAACUCAAGUUUAAUUUGAAAUUCAAAGCUUGAUACUCGAUUGAACAUAUAUUUUUAAGCUCGAAAUUAAAUCUGUUUAUCAAUUUUUGUACUCGAGUUCGAGCUCGCCUCAAUAAUUAAACUUAGGGUUAACAAUAUAUAUUAAAGGCAAUAAUGUAAUCUAAUAAUAUAAAAAUAUGAAAAGUUCAAUAAGGCUCCCAAACUACUCGAGUCAAGUAUUACUAAGCUUGAAUCCGGAUCGACCUAUAGCUCGGCGCAAUAAUUACCGAAUCAAAUUCAAAAUUUUUUGAGCCGAAUUCGAAUAGCUUGCGGGUACGGAUGUCUCAUUUGCACCCCUAUACUUCAUUAGAUAACAAGUGGCAUUUUGAAUUAUUAUAGGUAUAAUAAUUACUUUGUUAAUUACUUUAUUAGUAUCUUAAACAAGAAAGCAUUUAUAUAGCUGCAAUGUAUUAUUUCAAAUAUUUGUGAUUUUAAAAAGUAUUAUUUUACCUACAAGUGUAUGUUUGAACCGUUGAGACGACGUUGUUGAAAGGGGAUAGUCAUAAACCUCGAACAUAGACCAUAACACAAAAAUAAAAAAUAAAAAUAAAUAUUAUGUCCAUGAAUAAAACAAAAAAUGAAGAACUAAAAUUUCCAUUAAUAAAGCGAAAUCAAGACUAACUUUAUAUAAGUGUAAGAAGGGCAUAAAAAAUAUAUUAUGUCCACAUGAAGAAUUUUAUAACCCCAACUACACGAUUUUAUGUCCACCUCUCACUUUUCAUAUUUUUUUGGCCAUUCGUUUUUCAAGAUUGACAUCGACAUUAGAUUUAAAAUCAACGUUAAGCCAUGUUUAAAUUUUUUAAUAGAAUAUCAAGACUGAUUUUUUGUGAGUGAUUAAAAUUUUGUGUAAACUUAAAUGACUUAAAACUUAUCAUUCUUGUCAUCCCAUCUUCUCUCCAUGAAAGAAUUUUAAAAUGAACUUAGCAUUGAACGCCAAAGUCAAGAGUUGAUAAGCAUUUUUGUGGUCCAUUCAUCCUUUCUUAACGAAUUUCCAUCGAGAGUUUUUGCAAUAAGGAAUUUACGUAAAUAAGAAGCCUAGAUUGAUCCAAUUUUUGAGGAAUUAAUUAAUCAUAUAUUAUUUUUAUAUUAUAGUGAAUUAGUGGGAUGCAAUAUCUUCUGCUUGUAUAUAAUUAAACAAGAAGCUUAGGCUUCUUUAGAUUACAUACAUAUAUAGAAGUUAAUCUAUAUUUUCCACAAAACUAAAAUUUUCCACACGACUGAAACUUUCUUGGUCAAACAAGUUGGAUUUGGCUUCACCAAUAACUUAAUAAUCUGUACUAAAAGUUUCGACACAAUAGAAUACGAACUCGUUCUCGUAAAUAUUUUGAAAAAUAAAAAAUUUAAUAUUAUGAGUUAAUGAAUUACUAUAUUAAUUUAAAAAAUUAAAAGAUACAAUUUUUUUAAAGAAUUUAUGAAAUUAUAUAUUAAUAUAAUUGUUGACACCUUUUUUUUUGUGAAAACGGGGUCGACUUGGAUUUUAAAAAAUGAAAACGAAUAUGGAAGUCACCACCAAUCCUUUUUGAUAAGUUGUGAUCGGGCCACCUUGAAAAGUGGUUAUUUUUAAUAAACAAUUUAAUUUUAAUAAAAUAAUAAUUUUGGUCCACGAAAUUCAGAAAAACGGGUUUGGGAGUCGGUUACGUACGAGGAAAGAUUAGCACCCUCGUAACGCCCAAAAUUGGUACCUAGUUGAUUAAUUAAUGUCUUAGUAUCGAAGAUUGAAAACUUUAAAGAGAUUUAAAAUACGAUCCUUUAUUGAAAUGUUGAAAAUUUUCGGGAAAAAGCCAUAAUUCACAUUAAUCGAGAAAGAGAAUUAUAUCCAGUAGGUUAGGACACAAUGUCUUGAAUUCCCGAUGCGCGAAUGAAUGCCAAAAAUUUACUUAUUUAAAAAAUAUUUAGCUAUCUUAGAUUUAAAAAAAAAAGGGGAUCAUGCCCAGUAAGUUAGGACACGAUCUUUUCUUAAUUCCUGAGAUCAUUUAAAACUUGAGAAAAAAAAAGGAUCAUGCCCAAUAAGUUAGGACACGAUCUCUUCUUAAUUCCCGAGAUCAUUUAAAACUUGAUAAUUUUUAAUUCUCAAUUUAGCAUCAUAAUUUUAAUAACCACAUAAUUUUAAUUUUUAAAUGUUAUAGAAUUAAUAAUGUUAGUUAUUUUAAUAAAUCUAUAACAUUAAUAUUAAUAAGAGGAACAAAAUAUAUCAAAUUGAAACUAAAAUUUUAAUUCAAAUGAGUAAGUAUAGGGUUUAAAACUAUAAAUUGAUGUAUAAUAAUUUCUCAAGCAUUAAUUGUGACAUUAUUUCCAUGAGGAGGGGGCCUAUAUAAGCUCAAAGUUGACGUGAAGUCAAUAGUCAACAUUUGAAAGUUAAUGCAAUGAAUUAUGUGACUGUUGGAUAUAUGUAAUGAUAUUUUCUUAACAAUUUCCUCCAACUACUUUGUAGAUGGUGCUAUAUUACGUCACAAUGGGUCACCAAAUGUAUAUAAUUGAGGUUUUUAAGCAAAUAUUAUAGUUUAUCUUUAUCCAUGAAUAGUAUAAUAAUUAGGAUUAAUAUUUGGUACAUUGUUGCUGGAUUUUUUAAAUCUCAUAAGUAGAGUUAGAGGAUUGACACGUAUCCUAUAUAUGUGUAGUAUAUAAUAUUAAAAAAUAUAUAUUUUAAAAAAAUAGACACAUUUUAAUUUUUUAAUGUUGCUUGUGGGAUGCACUUGAAUUGUGGUUCAUAGAAGAAAAUUAUUAUAUAAACUAAGGUUUAAUUCUACCAUAGUUCUUGUACUUUACUGAAGUUGUAGAUUUAAUUUCUAGACUUUAAUUUGAUAUUUUAGAUAUUUAUUAAAUUCAUUAAGUCCUACUAUUUCUAAAUUUGGUGUGGCAAACAUAUUAUCAUAGGUGUAAUAUCACUAAAAUUCAAAAGAAUGAGAAAUUUGUACAUAUUAUCAGAUGUCAAUAUCAAGUUGAACAUUUCAAAAUCUAAAGUAAUAGUUCAAGUAUUUAUUUUUCCAUAAAACCAAAAUUUUCUACAUGAUGGCUUUUUUUUUUUGGCUAUUAGUUAAGAGGAAUUUUUUUUAUAACCCAAUUUAAUUAACUAAUUAAAAAAUGGUUCAAGUAAAACUCAAGUCAUAUUAAAAAUAAUUAUUUAUAAAUUUUAUGUUUCAAAAACUAAUGAAUGUUCAAAGAAUAGUGAAUUAUUAAAGAGAAGUUAUAUGAUAAUGGAUUGUUUUAAAGUAGUGGUCUAGUAGAAAUAAAUAGUUUUUUAUAAAAAAAUAUUAUAUAAAUAAUUAAAUUUUAUAGUUAUUCCUAUUUUUUUAAAAAAUAGUGAAUGUAAUAUUUUUUAAAAUGUUAAAUUAACUCAUGAUAUUAAUUAAAUCAAGAAAUUUUAUAAUAAUAGAGAUGAAAAAAACUAAAUUUUCAAAAUCAAAACCUAAAACGUGCAAGAAUAAAAGCAAUCUGAAGACUUAAAAUUUCCAUUAAUAAAACCAAAAUCAAAGAAGUAAAAUUUCCAUGAAUAAAACCAAAAAUGAAGACCUAAAUUUUCCAUUAAUAAAGCCAAGUCAAGACUAAGUUUGUAUAAGUGUAAGAAGGGUAUAAAUGAAACUCACAAGAAAGCCACAUGAAGAAUUUUAUAACUCCAACUACACGACUUUAUGUCCUCCUCUCACUUUUCAUAUUUUUUUGGCCAUUCAUUUUUCAAGAUUAACAUUAGCAUUCUUGUGGUCCGUUCAUCCUUUCCUAACCAAUUUCCACCAAGAGUUUUUGCAAUAAGGAAUUUACCUAAAUAAGAAACCUAGAUUGAUCCAACUUUUGAGGAAUUAAUUAAUUAUAUAUUAUUUUUAUAUUAUAAUGAAUUAGUGGGAUGCAGUAUGUUCUGCUUGUAUAUAAAUAAGAAGCUUAGGCUUCUUUAGAUUAUAUACAUAUAGAAGUUAACAAAAAGUAACAUAUAGCUGAGAGAGAAGUGAAAAUAGAGAGAUGAUGAUGAUGGAGUGGAAAUGGUUAAGGUUUAUUAGGAUGGCAGUAAUGUUGUUGGUGUUAGAAGGAUGCAGAUGGUGUACUACUGAUGCUUGUUUGGAGCAUGAGAGAAUCGCUCUCUUGCAUCUCA